Molecule: long non-coding RNA, 68493 nt
Filed under: Triticum aestivum (bread wheat)
Lineage: Eukaryota; Viridiplantae; Streptophyta; Magnoliopsida; Poales; Poaceae
Description: long non-coding RNA (TAES_LNC016519)
Rfam family: MIR1120/MIR1122 microRNA precursor family (bases 57657-57743)
Source: RNAcentral
CCGCGGUGGAUUCAGUGGCGCAUCUUCUGCAAGAAGAGAAAUGGAAGGAGAUCAGGAGAUGAUAUGAGAAAGGAAAAGGAGUAGGAUUUUGAUAAUUGCCUAGCUAGCUUUGGUUAGGGGUUUCUUGUACAGUUUCAGAGGACGUUGUAGCUCAUUCUGGGGAACUUGAAUGGGAAAUUUCUCAGUUUUUAGUUUGCUCAUGCGACACAUCACUGUGCCUCCCAGUUUACAGUUUACUCCUCAUUUCGCAGUUCGUUUGCAUGUGAUGUGAUUCUAAUAAUGUCCACCGGGCUAUUAAAAGAACAUCUCACGCCCAUAUACUAGUACACUAACGCCCGCUUAGGAUGGGUGCAAGUUUAUACGCUAUUUAUUUUGACUUUAGCUAGAUUUCAGUUAGCUGAAUUUUUGUUUUGUGGUCAAUCGAUUUUCUGGCCUUUGGAUUGCGCUUUAAGAUUUGUGUAGUUUUUCUUUCUGUCAUGUUUUGCUGGUGGUAUUGGGCUGUUUGGAUUUGAUUCACACCGAUUUUGGGUCAGUCGAUUUCGCUCUUGGGCCCAAUUUUGGUGCGUGCAUGCUUUUUUUCCAUGUGUUUGCUUUUGUUUUUUGCACGUGUAGUUUUUUUUUAUUUUUCAGUUGAGUUUUUUUUUCUUUAUGUGUAUUUUCGGAUGUUGAGUGCGUGAAAAUGUAUACAUGCAAGUACUAGAUGUACAAAUUACAUUAAAGUACGGAAACUUCACUCUUAUAUAUUUAUUCUGCAUAUUAUCAAAAGUGCAUUUUUUGCUAAUUUUGUGUUUUUUUGUGUUUUUAUUUUCUUUAUAUUAUUUAAGGGUAAUACCAAUGCUAAUUGUUUUGUGCUAUUUUUUUCUAAUUAAAUACAAUUUUCUAUUAUUAUGUGUAUGUAUGCAUGAAAGUACUAUACAAUAUGUGUGUAAAUUAUACCGCUAAAGUUGCGUUAUUAUAUGUGUAUUCACUGCAUAUUAUUAAAAGUGCAAUUUCACUGCAAAGUUGUGUUCAAGUCUUUUCUUUAUUUUCUUUCUUCCUCAGAGUAAUACCAAUGUCGCUAAUUUAUCCCCUCUUAGAAAACUCUAUUUGUUUUACCAUGUUUAGUUUUGAAUUCAUUUCUGGUUUACAAGGACAAUACCAAUGCAACUUAUUCGUUCCUUGUUUAAAAACUUUGUUUUUAUGUAAAAUUCACUAUUAUAUGUUUAUUCUUAGAUAACUCAAAAACUGCAAUUUAUGUGUAAAUUGUGUGCAAAUUGCAUCAUUUUUUUUUAAUUCCUUUCUUUUUAAAAGGUGGUACCAAUGCCACUAUACUUCAUUUCUUCUUAGAAAAUUUACUUUUAUUUUUGUGUUUGUAAGUAAGUAUACACGCAAGUAUGAUACACCAUGUGUGUAAAUUAUAGUAGAGAGCAAAAAUUGCACUGUAUAUGCUUAUUUUUGGCAUAUUACAGAAGUGCAAUUUUAAGGCAUAGUUGUGUGCAAGUUAUUUUUUAAUUUACUUUCUACUUAAGGGGUUUCAUUUCCCCCUAUUUAGUAGUUUUUUGUUUUUUAUAUUUUCUUUCUUCUUAAAGGGUUCCAUUCUUACAUAGAAAACUUCAUUAUUUUGUUUUAUUUUUAGUUUUUGUAUUUUGUUUUCUUAAAGGGUUUCAUUCUUCCAUAGAAAACUUUAUUAUUUUGUUUUGGUUAUUUAUUUAUUUUUAUUUUCUUUCUUCUUAAAGGGUUUCAUUCUUCCCUAGAAGACUUCAUUACUUUGUUUUGUUGUUGUUUUUUAUUUUCUUUCUUCUUAAAGAGUUUCAAUCUUCCCUAGAAAAUUUCAUUUUUUUGGAUUUAUUUCUUUCUUCUUAAAUGGUUUUAUUCUUCCCUAGAAAAGUUUAUUAUUUUGUUUUCAUUUUAAUUUUAAUUUCAUUUCAUUUUCUUUUUUUAAUGGCAAUACCUUUAUUCCUGCAUAUUAUAACAAAGCGCAAUUUUCGUGUAAAUUGCGUGCAAAUAUUGCCAUUACUUGUUUUUUUAUUGCCUUUCUUCUUAAAGGGUACUGUCAAUGUUCGGAUUUUUGAUUUUCUUUAUUCUUCAAGGGUAAUAUUAAAUGCCAAUGAUUCAUUUUAGCUUAGAAGACUUCAUUAGUAUGAUUUUUUUGUUUCUACUUUUUCUUACUUCUUUAAGGGCAUUAGCAACUCCGGUAAUUCAUUUUUCAGAGAAAACAUCUUUUUUGCAAAAGUUCCACUAACAUAUGCUUAUUCUUGCAUAUUUUAAAAAACAAUUUAUGUACAUAUUGUGUGCAAGUUUUAUCAUUAUUCAUUUUAUUUUAUCAUUAUUCAUUUUGUUUCUGUACGGUUGACGGUGUAGGAGUGCAACUUGCUUGAGGUUAGGCACAAGGCUAAUCCAUCAAUCAUCCUGCGCUCAACGACAAAAGCAGGCACACAAAGCAGCAUACAAUUACUACGUACCACAAAUUAGUUUGGAUGAAAAGAAGGACGUAUGUAUCAUGCGCCCAUGCUUAUGCAUGCAGAAUGUUUCAUGCGUACACGCACGCAUGCGUAAAUACAUAUCAUGCACGCGUGCGAAAUGUGUACAUGCAUAGCGAAUCUGUAAUGGGCUGGCUACCAAACACAAGUGUUGUUUGUCGACUCGACUGACCCAGAAAUAAGAUCAGUCGACUUACCUGUAGUCGCUCUCAUUUAUUUUACAGGUAUACUAGCAAACAUGCCAAGCAUGCCCCUGCGUUGCCACGUGAGAAAAAAAAAUCACCCCUCAUACACACUCGACAACAUCAACAAAUCACUUGAAAUCUUUCACGGUACGAUACAAGAAACAAUAUGAUAAGUGGUGUUGUACACAAACAUAAAGGAUUGGAUGAUUUUUUAAGUGUACUGAGGUUGUGUCCAAUUUAUUAGACAACAAAAAUAUCUACCUAGCUGCCACUAUCAAUUCAUGUCUUUGCUACGUUCCUCCUCAAUGAUAUUCAACAAACAGUGCAUUAGGCUAGAAAUAGCAAACGACACUUUAGUACUCAAUGAUAGCAUGUGCAUAACAGCAUUAUUUUUGUUUUGUUGAUAUAUAUGUUUGCAACUGUAAUCCAUGUCAAGACUUAAUGUGGUUGCAAACAUAUUAGAUAUCUCCGUCGAAAACAAUCAAUCUAUAUGGACAUGCAUAACGAAUAUGCAUUUCCAAUAAUCCCCAUUCAAAUAAAAGUACUAACUAAGGGUGCAACAUAAACAUAGUUCUAGAAAUAACUAACAUCCAAGAUAAUAUCAUAUUUGAAAUCUACCCCAUAUAAAGAAAAGUAUCAAUUAAGGUUGCAACAUAAACAUAAUUUUAGAAAUAAUUAACAUGCAAGAUAAUAUCAUAUUUGGAAUCUAUACAUUUUUCUGAGCGAUUUCCAUAUAUAACACUUUAAAUUUGAAGUUAGGUUUUGAAAGAUAUGAAUAUUUUGAAAAGUAUUUGAAUCUGCCAAAAAAAGAACUUUUUUUAAAAGAAAGUAGUUGCACCGUAAUUGCAACACUGUGCAGCCCAUUUGCUAAGAUGACACUUGAGCAAGCAGCUCUAUCUUACGCCAACCUGAAAUCAAGGAGGAAAGGGAGAAAAAAAAGGGAGAAGGAGAACUCAAACUCAGGUCUCCCGGGUGGUAGAGGAAGGCUCAAGCUAGUAGGACGCUUGUGCACUUGUUAAUUUUGAUGUGAUAAUUGUGUACAUGAACAAAACACAAUGGACGUCGAGUAUAAUGAAAAAACGAAUCGUUUUAGCCACUUACGGGUGACAGUGGAGGUAAAUAUUAUAAUUUUUAGGACACUUUUAAUGACAGUGAACGGGCAAAAGCAAUCCGUGCUUUAUUAUUUGAUAUAAUAUAGAUAUAUAUAUAUAUAUUGCCGGUCAACACUUGAUUUCCAUCUGAAAGGAAAACGACGCGUCAAGAUCUAUAUCUUAAACUGAUCAAAUACAAGCGGAACGAUAAUCCAAGUAGGGCGUAAAGGAAAAAAAAAUCUCAGCACAAACUGAGGAUUGUAGAUGAGAGAACAAUUUAGCCUCUAAAAUCCUCAAAUUUUCAACUUAAGAAAAGGACAAGAAUAUAUGAAUAGUCCUAACUCAAGAACUGAAGUUGAAGUAUUACGUCUCCCUUCUUCUCGUAGAAAUUGGGGUAAAAUGGAAUAACGUACCACCACCCAUUAUGGUUUUGCAUUAAUUUGGGGCUUGGUUAACUGGAUAGAGUCUAAGACAACGACACAUAAUCCAAGUUGGAGUGUACUUUAGGCCAUAUGGAAUGUUUGGAAUGAUGUUGCCUUUAACAAAUAAACCAUCACAAUUUUUUUGCAGGUUAUCUUCAGACCAUCUGUUUGGAUCCGUGCGUGGUCAUUACUCAGCCAUGCGGACCAUAUGAAGCUUAUGGAUAUUGGGUGCAACCAAUGAGAGAUGGUUGCAUGGGAUACUUACAACCAGUUUGGAUGUCGGUCCAAUAAUAGGAUAUGUGUCUAGUCAUCCUAUUUUUGCCGAUUGUGGCAAUUUUUUUAUUAGAUUCGCUCUUUUUUCUGAGAUCUUAUUCAGAACUUGAUUUUUUUAAUAAUAUGGUUGUGUGCAUCAAGAGAUGCAGCGGCCGGGGGUACUCCUCCUUCAAAAAAUGGGACAUCACGAGGUGGGAUAUUGGCAGCUGCCAUUCAAGGCAUCUCUAACCAGGCUCCCCACUCUCCCAUGUAAGUCCGAAUGGACGGCCCGGGUAAGGCUCAAACAAGAGCGAGAAAAAAUAAGAGCCUACCCAACCAAGCCAUCCAUUUCCUCCCUACAUGUCCAGGCUGUCCGACACCCCUCAAAUCCACACUUUCCCAACCCGAACAAGGCCUGAACAGAAGAGAGAGAGAGAGAGAGAGAGAGAGAGAGAGAGAGAAGGAGAGAAGCCUACCCAACCAGCCCUCCGUUACCUCCGAGUUUGAGGGGUGUCGGACUGUCAAACAUAGGAGGUGAGCGCGUGGCUGCAAAGCGCGGCGACCGCGAGGGUCAGGUGGUAGCAGAGGUUCCAUCGAAUGAGCUGGGCAUAGAGGAACGCGAGCGUGGAGAGAAAUGUGGCGGCAUGCACGGAGAAAAGCGCCCGACUUCAGGACGUCAUAGAAGUUGCGGAGAAGGGCCAUACUGUGGCAGAGGAGGAGAGCCAUGACGGUGGCUUCCAAUGGUGGCAGUUGAGGGCCAUACCCACGACGGAGCUUGUAUAGUGGUUGCAGUUGGGGUUGUGGCAGUGGCUUGCUGCAGUGGGUUGUGUCGGCAAGGUCACCGGAGCUUGCGCCCUCUCGGAGGUAGGGUUGCUCCGACGUGCACGCCUCAUCUGUGCAGGGUGUGCUCUGCUCGUGCUCCAGCGGUGCCGCACAUGACCUACUCAAUGGAUUGUGUGAAAUAGGGAGGACAAUUUAGGGGGUGUGGUUGUAUGACAUGAAAAGUGGGGGUUCAAAGCAUACACGCGCAAACACUGUCGAGAUGUAUCCGAAGGAGGAUAGAUUUGUGCAUUAUAGUUGUAGAUAUUGUCACAAAUCAAAAUGGGAUACUUGUUUUCUAGAGGUCCCUUGUGUUGUACAAACUAGAUGAUACCUCGUGGGUUUAAUAAGAUAUCGUUGUAUGGAACAUGAAUAUUUGUGUUAACAACAUGAGAACUAAAACUGAAAAAUGCAUAUGAUUUAUUGCAUGGAAUUAUUUUGUAGUUGUAAAAUAAUUACUGAAUAUAAACUGUAUAAUAAAAUGGGAAGCAUUUUUUCGUGUGUGGUUUCUUGUUGUGGAGAACCUUUCCAUGCACGGUUGCAUGUCAGUACUACAAAUCUGGACACUAAUGACCGCUCAUCAUUGACCACUAACCACACGUCAGUGAUGAGGGUCAUCACAGGUGGGCCAGCAAAAACUCGUGAGUGUUAUUGCUCUGAGGGUUCUUGACACUGACUGCACUAAUUUUGGACCGUCUGUGAUAUGGUCUUCUUCAAUCUCCAUUCACUUCUUGCGAGCCAGAUUGCUAUCACAGCGGCGCUCAAAACUAACAUGUGUGUGAUAUGUGUUUAUCACUAACCAACGAGUUAGUGGUCAGUUAUUGGUGUCGGUACAACAUUUAAUCGGUGUAAGUGCAUCUAGUGCCCCUUGGUGAUUUUGGUGUAUUGAAGACUUAUAGGUUAAGAGACUAAUAUGUUUGUGAGUGUACACAGGUUCUAUAAGUCGAUGAGGAGUUUGAUAUUUACAGUGAAAGUCGACCCCUAAAAAUGAAUGUCUUCGGCUGAAGACUUUGGUUCUCCUGAAGACUUUAAAAGUGAAGAAAUUGGUGCGACCUUAAAGACUUGGAUAUUCAUGCGAGGAUUAUGAAGCGUGAAGACUUUUGUUUUCGUAGUUUCAUUUUAUUUUUCUUGAGUCAUAGGAAACACCGUACUGUUAAAGACGGUCGAGGUAAUAGUAAGGAAACUGAUUUCCAUGUGAUGCUCAUCUCAAAAUCCUACACCUACCCAAUCCUUCGAGUGAAGCCAUUGGAAAUCUCAUAUCAGUUCAGUCAAUUUCUUCAGUGAUAGAGACGAAGAUCUUCUGGUCUCUGAGGAAUUUGUUCUGACUGAGGAGUUAGGAAUUCGCCAGUGCGGAUUGCCUACAUAAUGAGGAACAUGAUAGCCCUGAGGAAUUCGAACCUCAAAUAUUCGACCAUUGUUGUGCUACGCGCCAGCUGUCUCAAAAAUAUCUACCACCUAAUGGUCAUAUCAGCCAAGGGCAUUUAUGUCUUAUCAUGUCGGGCUGCUCCCUAGGCUAUAAUUAGCCACCCCCUACAACCACUAGCCGGUUGGCUGCUCCGAGAGAAACUGACACUUGUCAUUUGAGAGCAUCCCAUCCUUUGAGGACUUUGAGCGAAAAUCAUCAAGUGAGGAAGUACCCAAAUCCCAAACCCAAACCUACAAACCCCAAAGUGAUUGAGCAUCACUGAAGAGAUUGCUCUUGUGUGGAACCGACACUUGUUACCUUUGAGGACUGUGUAUCCUCCAGACGGUUAGGCGUCAUGGUUUGAGCAUCCAAGAGGAAUUGUGGAUUACCGAGUGACCAAGUCUGUGAAGGUUUCGAAGUCACCUGUGAAGACUUACCACUACUGUUGGGCGAGAUUUGCGUGAUCGUAGCUCAAGGAGAAUACGAUGAGGACUGUGUGUCCGGUACUGUGUGUCCUCGAGUUUAAAUACUCAGCCGCUCCAACCAGACGAACAACUGUCACAGCAGUUGAAACUGGUUGACCAAAUCAUUGUCUUCACCAAGCCUACUGGUUCUAUUUUCUCAACCCUUUCAUUUCCUCAAUUAUGUGUUGAUGAACCUGAUCAUUACUAUUUAAAGACUUUGACUGAAGACUUUCUCUAAUUCCUCAAUCCUAUUUCUUCAGUCAGUUUGUCUUCAUCCUGUUAUCAUGUGUUUACGCUUUCUGUACUUUGUGUUUUGUCUUUCAUUUCAUCAUGAAGACUGUGUUGUUGCUCUAUUAUGCUUACACCCGAGUACUUAUUCCGCUGCAAGUAGUUCUUUGCUUAGAAAUUUCCUCACUCUAAAAUUCCUCAGUGAAGAAUUCAUAAAAAUCGCCUAUUCACCACCCUCUAGUCGACGUAAUGCACUUUCAAUUGAUAUCAGAGCAAGGUACUCCCUUGUUCUGUGUGAUUUUGGUUUAACCACCUGGACUUUUAGUUAUGUCGACUGCAGGUAUGAUCAAGGUCUCGGCUGAGUGUCCUACCUUUGAUGGGACAUACUACCCCUACUGGAAGAACAAGGUGCGCAUGCAUCUUGAGGUAAUUGAUAACGAUCUCUGGUAUGUUGUGUAAAAUGGCGCCCCCUCAGUCACUCCGUCUCUGAAUGCUACUGAUGUGAAGAGAUUCAAGCAACUCGAUUUUCAAGCAAAGAAUAUCAUAUGCGGCCAUCUGAGCAAAGGACAGUACGGCAGAGUGAGUGCACUGGAAACUGCCAAGCUAAUUUGGGACAGGCUCUCCAAGGUCAACGAAGGAGUCUCAACUCAACGUGACUCCCGAGUUGAUGUUCUUCGCAAUCUCUUCAACCGCUUCAAAAGACUCCACAACCAAAAUGUCCAGCAAACCUUCAAUCGCCUCACUGACAUCUCAAAUGAGCUUUAAGCACUUGUUGCCACUAACAUCACCGAUCAUGAGGUGGUGAAGAAAUUGCCGAGAUCACUUGACACCUCAUUCGAUACACUUGCACUAAUGAUUCAAGAACGAGAUGAUUACAAGUCACUAGAUCCCGCUGAUAUCCUCGAGAGGCUAAACACACAUGAGUUCCAGCUUGCUGAGAAGAGAGAUCUCUAUGGAUCGAGCUACGGAAGACACAUGCACUGAAGGCCAAGGAAGUCUCUGAGUCUGAAGCUGAAGAUUCUGGUAGCAGCCUGAGUGAUCCUGAAGAACUGAGCCAGGAGCUAGCAAUGCUCGUGAGGAAAUUCUAGAAGUUUUCUUGCCGUGGUUGUUUUGGAAAGUCUUCAAAAAAUAAUGAUUCCUUGUCCCGUGACUACAAAAAGAGAACUUGCCAAAAAUGCAAGAAACCUGGUCACUACAUGUCUGAUUGUCCUCUGUGGGAAAAGGAAUCAAAGAAGAAGAAGUACAAAGAUGACGAUUCUGAUGACUCGAAGAAAAAGAAGAAAUCUUCAAAGUCUUUAUCAUCAAAAUCUUCAAAGUCUUCAUCUCACAACAAGAGCAGUUCCAAGAAGGCCCGGGCAUUCAUUGGCAACGAAAUGGACUCUGAAGCUGAAUCCGAGGAAAAUAUGGAAGAGGAGGAAUCUGAGGAGUCAGACUCUGGUUGUGAGAGCUUAGCCCUCGCUACUGCUUAUGUCAGCAAGUCCAUCUUCAACACUAAAGAAAAUGACCUCCCCAACUCUGCUGAGAAAAGCGUCGAUGACUAUGCUCCCACCUAUUGCUUCAUGGCAAAAGGUGCCAAGGUACUCAAACAUUCCCCCUCUAACUCUAGUGAGGAUGAAUCUGAUGAAAAUCUUAAGCCUAGCUAUUCCGAACUUGCCAGAAUUGCUGUUAAAAAACGGAAGGCUUUAGAAAAGAUUCAAAAUCAACUAGUCAGAAGCGAUGACCUGUUGGGUGAGGAAUUGAAUCGAACCAAGUCUCUAACUGAUAAUCAUCAAAGACUUCAAACUAAGUUUGACAACCUUCAAAAUCAUCAUAACACUCUCUUAACUGAUCAUGAGAAGCUUUCUUAUGAAUUUAUUCAAAGAAAGCAAGAUCUUGAAAAGUUAAGAGUGAGGUAUGAAGAUCUUCAGAAGGAAAACGAUUCAUUGCUUUCUCAACAGACCAGUUCCGCUCAGAAAGAAUUUAUUCCACCAUGUCUUAAAUGCAUUGAACGUGAAUCUGCUAAUUCAUCACCUGAAUGUUCAAAUGCUUCUAUUGCUGCAAAUUCUUCAACUGUCUCUGUGAUCACAAAUUCCUCAUCUGAGGAUACCACAAGUAUCACUGACGACAAUGCAGGUCUGAAGGAAUUGUAUGUGACAAGCAUUUACAAAAGCCUCAAAGGGCAUCAAACUCUAUGUGAUGUGCUUAAAAAGCAGAUCUUGAACAGGAACCCUAGGAAAGAGGGUAUUACCUUUGAGAGGAAACUUAAUGCUGAUGGGACCUACUGGAAACCUGAGCAGUAUCCCAAAACCUCAUGGGUUGCUGCGAAAGGACCUCCUAUAGAUCCAUGCACUUUAUCUGGCUUUACCUGUGACUCUUCAUAUUCCUCUGGUGAGUCAUUCGACUCCAACUAUAAGCUGUUUAAGAAUCAUAAUGGUGAAGUAUUUGCUCGAUAUGUUGGAACUAACUGCAGGAACGGUCCCCCUGUGAAGAAAAUCUGGGUUCCUAAAAGAUGCCUUGAAAAAUCUUCAAGUGAAUGUCAUCAUGACACCACCCAUGAAGAAUAGGAACCCCAGAUUAAAUUCUUCACAUUGAUCAAAAUCUUCAUAUGGAUCCAAGUCCUCAUAUGGACCAAAUCCUUCAUAUCGAUCAAAUUCCUCACAAGGAUCAAAAUCCUCAUAUGAACAUCAUCGUGCUAACACUUCUGUUUCGCAGGGAAAGUCUAAGGGUCAUGAAUAUGUGCAUUAUUCUUCAAACCAUUAUGUUCAUAAGUCCUCGAAGAAUUUCUCUGCUUAUGCAUAUGCUUAUCCUAACCACUCUUCUAUGAAACGAAGUGCACUGGCUUCAAUACCAUCUUUUUCUUAUGGAGCUCGCAAAAUGAUGAACUCUUUGCCACCCUUCCAGAUGUGGGUGGUGAAGAAAAACAACUAAUCUCUUAUGCAGGGUCAGGUCUCCAGACAAACUUGAUCGUCUGAAGAAAUUGCUGGAGACCUGAAUGUGCUUGAAAGGACGCAAGCUAAACAUGAAGAAAUGAAUCAUUCAUUUCUCACCUCCUCAUAUUGCUAUAUCUGUUACUGUUGAUGAAAUCGAUAUCAUAUUCUUCACUGAUUUAGUAUAUGGGUUCGUAAGUUGCACUAAUUCAUGUGCAGGAUGAACAACCCAAAGCUACUGAGUGGGUCCUCGAUAGUGGAUGUACAAAUCACAUGACUAGUGACAAGAACUUGUUGAUGGACACUGAUUUGUCACCAUCUCAUCUGAAGCAUAUCACUUACGCUGACAAAGGCAAAAGCAAGGUAUUGGGUCUAGGUAAGGUUGUAAUCUCAAAGGAUUGACACAUGGACAAAGUCAUGCUUGUCGAGUCCUUAGGAUUCAACCUCAUGUGUGUCUUAAUGCUUUGUGAUCUAGAUAUGGUUGUUGUCUUUGGAAAAUUUCAUAGCUUUGUGCUAAUGGAAUCUGACAACUCUAAGGUCUUCGAAGGCUUUAGGAAAGGAGACUUGUAUAUUGUUGAUUUCUCUGCAGGACCACAGCCUACCACAUGUCUACUUGCAAAAGCUUCAGAAUGCUGGCUAUGGCAUCGAUGACUUGGUCAUGCUGGGAUGAGGAACUUGCAUACACUCGCGAAGAAGAAGCAUGUCAUUGGCAUCGAGGGUGUCAAAUUCCUCAAAGAUCAUCUUUGUGGGGCUUGUGAGUCUGGAAAGAACACCAGAGCCAAGCAUCCCUCGAAGACUAUCAUGACCAAUUCUCGUCCCUUUGAAUUACUUCAUAUGGAUCUCUUUGGCCCUACUCAUUAUGCCAUGUUCUCUAAUUCUGCAUCAUUAUAUGGCUUUGUCAUAGUUGAUGACUAUUCUCGUUACACAUGGGUGCAUAUCAUCACUUACAAAAAUGAAGUGCAGGAAGUCUUCAGACGUUUUUCCUCAAGGGCUUCCACUAACUUCGGUGUGAAGAUCAAGCAUAUCAGGAGUGAUAAUGGAACUGAGUUCAAGAAUACUGGGCUCGAUGAAUAUCUUGACAUGCUUGGCAUUACUCACGAAUUAUCUGCUCCUUAUACUCCUCAGCAGAAUGGCGUCGUGGAGCGCAAGAACGAGAACUCUUGUUGAGAUGGCUUGCACUAUGCUUGAUGAAUACAAUAUGCCUCAACGCUUCUGGCCUGAAGCAAUUGAUACUGCGUGCCACAUCAUCAACAUGGUAUAUCUUCACAAAUUCUUCAAAAAGACCUCAUAUGAACUCCUCACUGACAAGAAACCCAAUGUAAGUUAUUCCAAAGUCUUCGGUGCUAAAUGCUGGAUUAGAGAUCCUCACCAUCACUCUAAAUUUGCACCGAAAGCACAUGAAGGUUUUAUGCUUGGUUACAGAAAGGACUCGCUCACCUACAGAGUCUUCAACCUAAAUCAUCACAAGGUUGUUGAAACUGUAGACGUGCGGUUCGAUGAAACUAAUGGCUUGCAAAGAGAGCACCUACCUCCUGUGCUAGAUGAAAUGUCACCUAAGGAAUCCAUCAAGUUCAAAGCUACUGAGGAUGUCAUCCCAACUGAAGAAUCUGCUGAAAAAAUCAUUCCAGAUCGUGAAGAAAAUCAUACUGGUGCCGCUGAAGAAACUGGUCCUAAAGAAAAUGCUGGACCUAAGCAAAGUCGUCAACCUGCACAUCCUCGUGUUGCAAACGAAGUGCAAAUCGAGAAGAUCAUCGAUGACAUCAAAGCACCAGGUCCUCUCACGCGCUCAAAAGCUUCACAUUUAUCUAACUUUUGUGGGCAUUUUGCAUUUGUCUCUAUCACAAAGCCCACUAAAGUUGAUGAAGCAUUCAUGGAAUCCGAGUGGAUUCAAGCUAUUCCAGAUGAAUUGCAUCAAUUCGAGCUCAACAAUGUGUGGGAGCUUGUCAAGCGACCAGACCCAUGAAAGCACAACAUCAUCAGUACCAAAUGGAUCUACCGCAACAAACAAGACGAAAAUGGCCUCGUGGUGAGGAAUAAGGCUCGUCUUGUAGCUCAAGGCUACACACAGGUUGAAGGAAUUGAUUUUGAUGAGACUUUUGCACCUGUUGCUAGACUUGAGGCUAUUCACAUAUUGCUUGCUUACGCUAACCAUCAUAAUAUCAUCUUACAUCAAAUGGAUGUGAAAAGUGCAUUCCUCAAUGGUAAGCUUGAGGAAGAAGUAUAUGUUCCUCAACCACCAGGUUUUGAGGAUCCAAAAUUUCUAGAUCACGUCUACAGACUCAACAAGACCCUCUAUGGCCUCAAGCAAGCACCUCGGGCAUGGUAUGACACACUGAAGGAAUUGCUCAUGAAGAAAGGCUUCAAACCUAGUUCACUUGACCCAACUCUUUUCACCAAAGCAUAUGAUGAUGAAUUAUUCGUGUGCCAAAUAUAUGUUGAUGACAUUAUCUUUGGUUGUACUAACCAACAUUACAGUGAUGAAUUUGCCUAUAUGAUGAGUGAAGAAUAUCAAGUGUCUAUGAUGGGAGAAUUGAAAUUCUUUUUAGGUCUUCAAAUUCGUCAACAAUACAAUGGCAUAUUCAUAUCUCAGGAGAAAUACCUCAAGGAUGUAUUGAGGAAAUUCGGCAUGCAAGACUCCAAAGGCGUCAAAAUCUCUAUGCCCAUAAAUGGCCAUCUAUGCACUGAUGAAAAUGGUAAAGACUUCGAUCAAAAGGUAUACCGCUCCAUGAUUGGCUCUUUAUUGUACCUAUGUGCAUCUAGGCCGGAUAUUAUGCUUAGUGUUUGCAUGUGUGCCUGAUUUCAAGCUACACCGAAGGAAUCACACCAUAAGGCUGUGAAGCAUAUUCUUCGAUAUAUAGCUCAAACACCAACACUUGGAUUAUGGUAUCCCAAGGGCUCUUCCUUUGAUCUCAUUGGAUAUUCAGACUCUGACUAUGCUGGAGAUCGGGUGGACCGCAAGUCAACGUCAGGCACAUGUCAUUUCCUCGGAUGAUCCUUGGUAUGUUGGUCCUCGAAGAAACAAAACUACGUAUCACUCUCCACUGCAGAGGCUGAGUACAUUGCUGCUGGAUCUUGCUGUGCUCAAUUGCUGUGGAUGAAGCAAACUCUCAAGGACUAUGGCACCAAUGUGAAGAAUGUGCCGCUCUACUGCGACAAUGAGAGUGCCAUUAAGAUUGCUCACAACCCAGUUCAGCACUCGAAGACAAAGCACAUCCAGAUUCGUCAUCAUUUUCUUCGUGACCAUGUGUUGAAGGGUGACAUCUCCAUCGACCAUGCAAGUACUGAAGACCAGCUGGCUGAUAUCUUUAGAAAGCCCUUGGAUGAGAAGAGAUUUAGCAAGUUGCGGUGUGAGCUAAAUAUCCUAGAAUCUUCAAAUGUUCUUUGAAAAGGACACACAUCCUAGCGCUUAUGCUGACUUGAUGACUUAGAUGUGCAAUACACGAAGUAACAUUUUUCUUCAAUCAAUGAAGACUAACCCUCUAAGUGUGAAGAAAUUAAUGAAGAAAUUGAUUCUCAGAACCUAACGAUAGUUGUACGCGGUGUCUGAAAUCAGCUUUCUUAUACAAUGGGUUACGCCACCAACCAAAGUUGAGAAUCUUCAAUUUGAGUUUUUUCUUCAUUUUUGAAAUUCCUCAGUUUACAAAUUCUUCAACUUUGCAUUACCUUCACCCUUUCCGUCAUUGUUCUUCAUUGACUAUAUAUAUACACUUGAGUUUUUAUGUCCUCUAUAACAUUCACUUAUUGCUAUUUCUUCAAGUUGAUCUUUCGGCUAAGUGAAUGUGAUCGGACCCUUUCCCCUCUAUGCUUAACUCAACCUAGUCUAUUCAAAAAUUCUUCAUGUGCGUUCUGUUUGAAACUCAUUCAAAAUCUUCACCGAGUCCUUGUCAGCUGAAGAAAUUGCGAACGAAACAUUAAAUAUUCCAAAUCUGAUUUUUUCGGUUUCUGCCGCUCAUACCGUUACACAUUCCAUGAUAAAUAUUAUCUAUUCACCCACGAUCUUACACGAUCGCCACCUCACAAUAUGUGGGUGACACAUGUCGCGCGAAUGAGAAGGGUCAGGGGCACGUUCGUCCAAAUUCUUUGGGCGAACAGUUUUUUCACAGUGGCUAUAAAUACCCCCUCCCCUUCCUCAUUUCACUUUGACUCCGCUCGACCUCACUCCCUCGCUCGAGCUUCUCAAACCCUAGCGCCGCCGCUACUUCCAUCAUCGCCGGUGAGGAAGAGCUUCACUGCCUUGACCUCGUCGCCGUCGUACUCGCACCGGACACAGAAAUCUUCACUCCGCCACCACCGUAGACGUCUUCCUCCGCCGAGUUAGGGCGUGGAAGAUCUGAGCCGACGAACUUCCAAAUCUACACUUCCUAUUCGUCAUGUUCUUCAUCAAGGGUCAUUAGAAGUUACUUUUACUACAUUUAUUCUACUGAUGAUUUUCAUCAAAUCUUCAAAAGGUGUUUAUUCUUCAACCUCCACACUCUAAAGAUGUAGCACAAAUCUUCAGCUCUUGAUCUGUUUCUCUAAGUGACGUUUUUCUUCAUGAUUCCUCAAUUGUGUGAAUCUAACAAUCCACACAACUCUAGAACCUAAGUCAAAGAACGCUUAGUGAAAUUCUUCAAGACACAACUGGUCAAUUUCCUCAAACUUGUUCCAUUUUGCAAAACCUUCUGAGAAUGCAUAUGACCUCUCCAAAUUCUUCGCACCUAUACUCUGUUCACAGGUACACAUGUCUGCUGCUGAAUCACUAGGUUCUCAUCAACUUAACUCAUUUGCAGAGUUCCUCCAAGAAAAGUUGCAUACUUCUUCAGAGAACUCAAUUGUUCAAAUUCCUCAGCUGAAGAUAUGGUAGAUGGUAAAAGGCCUCAGAAAAGAGGAAAGAAGCUCGAAGUCAAAACUGCCUUUGAAAUUCCCGAUGACAUUUAUGCAGGGUACUGCAUGCCUGAUGAGGCAACUCAUGGCAAAGAAACCAAGAAUGAGCGCAAGGUGCACAUUCAAAGGAUUGAACGCCGAUGGGCACGGGAGUGGAGAGAUUACAGAUAUGUAACUCCAAAGUAUAUGAAGAAAUUCGCUCUCAACCCUCCUUGCUCAAGACCUCCAUUGGCACCUGAACAAAGAGCUGAUCCAACAAGCCUUAAACAUGGUGAGGAUUAUGCUAGUGAAUGGGCCAGGAAGCAGGCCAAGUUGGCAAAGCAGGCCAAAGGAAGCAGUGAAGAAAUUCAACGAAGAUUCUGAUGCUGUUGCUGCCACUGCUGAGGCUUCUACAAGCAAAAAGGCUAUUCCCAAGAAGCUAGCCAAGAAACCAGCUUCCUCAGCAAUGCCCUCAUGGCCAAGUUCCUCUGUGCCACCUAGGAAAAAUCCUCAAGCUGCCCUAGUUCCUCAAACUGCACCAGUUCCUUGAGUUUCAACACCCUCGGCUCCUCCGACAAAGUCCUCAGCCCCUGUGCAUCUCGCCACGUGCCAACGGACCACAUGCUUCUCUAUUGCCUCAGGAGCUUCUGCAAGUUCUUCAGUUCCUCAUCCGUCUUCAAAGAGCCCAACUUUGUUGAAGACUAAGGCUACCGCAGGACGAGGCACUAGACCAAGUCCUCACAAGAAACAAGUUGCUUUUCAAGUGCCUUAUGAUGAUGAUGAAUUAGCUAAUAUCAUCAAAUAUACACAGCAAAGGGCCCCUAGAGCCAAAGGGAGUGUUGUGCCUCUUCUAUUGGAUCCAAAGAAGAUCCUAGACUUCAUUGACCUCUGGCACAAGGAUCCAAACACUCCUCUGCCAGAGCUGGGCCUCACUCCUGGACAAAAUCACAUGUAGGCAACGUUCAUCACUGAAGAAAACUGGAAAUACGAUCAAGCUAAAGUGGCUAAGAAAGCAUAAUACAAGAAGCAACUCUAUCUAAAGGACAAUGUCCUCAGCCUAUCACCUGAACAACUCCUGCUCUGCAAGCUGAUAUCAAAAAGCUCAGCGAUGAAUUUGAUUCUUACAAGGCAGAAUGGCUGGGAGCCAAGGUUAGAUUCGUCACAUUAGUGAAGAAAUUCACUUCAAGUGUUGCUGGUCCUGUACACAUUGGAGUCACUCUAGCUGAAGCAUCUGCUCAAUCCACUAAAGGAAAUGCUAGCACCAUUGAUGAAAAUCAGGUUGCUGAUGAAACUGCAAGUACCAGGACUGCUGAAGAAAUUCCAGUUGCUGAAGAAACUGCCAGGGCAACCACUAGUGUUGUGCCUGAAGAAUCUGCUAGGCCAGCUGAAGACUCUGCUGCUGCGCCUGAAGAAAUUGCUCAAGAUAGGCCAACUGCAUCAGUUGUGCCUGAAGAAAUUGAUCCAAUUUCCUCUACUCCACCUGCACCAACAACAUGCCCAAUUAUUCCUUCUGCUCUUCAAGUGUGCAUUGCUUGAAAAGCAAAUUCCUCACUAUGCACAUCUUUAGGGGGACUUCUUCUAUAUCUUGCAAUCAAAUUCCUCAACAUUGAGCACUUUUCAAUUCAUAUGUUUAUCCCCGUUGAAAACUUAACCUAUAUUGUCAUCAAUCACCAAAAAGGGGGAGAUUGUAAGUGCAUCUAGUGCCCCUUAGUGAUUUUGGUGUAUUGAAGACUUAUAGGUUAAGAGACUAAUAUGUUUGUGCGUAUACACAUGCUCUAUAAGUUGAUGAGGAGUUUGAUAUUUACUAUGAAAGUUGACCCCUAAAAAUGAAUGUCUUUGGCUGAAGACUUUGGUUCUCCUGAAGACUUUGAAAGUGAAGAAAUUGGUGUGACCUUGAAGACUUGGAUAUUCACGCGAGGAUUAUGAAGCGUGAAGACUUUUGUUUUUGUAGUUUCAUUUUCUCUUUCUUGUGGCAUAGGAAACAUCAUACUAUUAAAGGGGAUCGAGGUAAUACUAAGGAAACUGAUUUCCAAGUGAUGCUCAUCUCAAAAUCCUACACCUACCCAAUCCUUCGAGUGAAGCCAUUGGAAAUCUCAUAUCAGUCCAGUCAAUUUCUUCAGCGACAGAGACGAAGAUCUUCUGGUCUCUGAGGAAUUUGUUCUGACUGAGGAGUUAGGAAUUCGCCAGUGUGAAUUGCCUACAUAGUGAGGAACAUGAUAGCCCUGAGGGAUUCGAACCUCAAAUAUCCGACCGAUGUUGAGCCGCGCGGUAGCUAUCCCAAAAAUAUCUACCACCUAACAGUCAUAUCAGACAAGGGCAUUUAUGUCUUAUCAUGUUGGGAUGCUCCCUAGGCUAUAAUUAGCCGCCCCCUACAACCACUAGCUAGUUGGCUGCUCCGAGAGAAACUGACACUUGUCAUUUGAGAGCAUCCAAUCCUCCGAGGACUUUGAGCGAAAAUCAUCAAGUGAGGAAAUACCCAAAUCCUCAACCCAAACCUACAAACCCCAAAGUGAUUGAGCAUCAAUGAAGAGAUUGUUCUUGUGUGGAACCGACACUUGUUACCUUUGAGGAUUGUGUAUCCUCCAGACGGUUAGGUGUCAUGGUCUGAGCAUCCAAGAGGAAUUGUGGAUUGCUGGGUGACCAAGUCUGUGAAGGUUUGGAAGUCACCUGUGAAGACUUACCAGUACUGUUGGGCGAGAUUUGCGUGAUCUUAGCUCAAGGAGAAUACGGUGAGGACUGUGUGUCCUCGAGUUUAAAUACUCAGCCACUCCAACCAGACGUACAACUGUCACAGCAGUUGGACCUGGUCGACCAAAUCAUUGUCUUCACCAAGCCUACUAGUUCUAUUUCCUCAACCCUUUCAUUUCCUCAAUUAUGUGUUGAUGAACCUGAUCAUUACUGUUUGAAGACUUUGACUGAAGACUUUUUCUAAUUCCUCAAUCCUAUUUCUUCAGUCAGUUUGUCUUCAUCCUGUUAUCCUGUGCUUACGCUUUCUGUACUCUGUGCUUUGUCUUUCAUUUCAUCAUGAAGAUUGUGUUGUUGCUCUGUUAUGCUUACACCUGAGUACUUAUUCCGCUGCAAGUAGUUCUUCGCUUAGGAAUUUCCUUACCCUGAAAUUCCUCAGUAAAGAAUUCAUAAAAAUCGCCUAUUCACCCCCCUCUAGUCAACGUAACGCACUUUCAGAAGCAUAUCACCUACGCUGACAAAGGCAAAAACAAGGUAUUGGGUCUAGGUAAGGUUGCGAUCUCAAAGGAUUGACACAUGGACAAAGUCAUGCUUGUCGAGUCCUUAGGUUUCAACCUCAUGUCUGUCUCAAUGCUUUGUGAUCUUGAUAUGGUUGUUGUCUUUGUAAAAUUUCGUUACCUUGUGCUAAUGGAAUCUGACAACUCCAAAGUCUUUGAAGGCUUUAGGAAAGGAGACUUGUAUAUUGUUUAUUUCUCAGCAGGACAACAACCUGCCACAUGUCUACUUGCAAAAGCUUUAGAAUCCAAGUUAUUGCAUCGACAACUUGGUCAUGCUGGGAUGAGGAACUUGCAUACACUCGUGAAGAAGAAGCAUGUCACUCGCAUCGAGGGUGUCAAAUUCCUCAAAGAUCAUAUUUGUGGGGCUUGUGAGGCUAGAAAGAUCACCAGAGCCAAGCAUCCCUCGAAGACUAUCAUGACCACUUCUCGUCCCUUUGAAUUACUUCAUAUGGAUCUCUUUGGCCCUACUCAUUAUGCCACGUUCUCUAGUUCUGCAUCAUUAUAUGGCUUUUUCAUAGUUGAUGACUAUUCUCAUUACACAUGGGUGCAUAUCAUCACUUACAAAAAUGAAGUGCAGGAAGUCUUCAAACGAUUUUCCUCAAGGGCUUCCACUAACGUCGGUGUGAAGAUCAAGCAUAUCAGGAGUGAUAAUGGAACCGAGUUCAAGAACACUGGCCUCGAUGAAUAUCUUGACAUGCUUGGUAUUACUCAUGAAUUAUCUGCUCCUUAUACUCCUCAGUAGAACGACAUCGUGGAGCGCAAGAACCGAACUCUUGUUGAGAUGGCUCGCAGUAUGCUUGAUGAAUACAAGACACCUCAGUGCUUCUGGCUUGAAGCAAUUGAUACUACAUGCCACAUCAUCAACAGGGUAUAUCUUCACAAAUUCUUCAAAAAGACCUCAUAUGAACUCCUCACUUACAAGAAACCCAAUGUAAGUUAUUUCAAAGUCUUCGGUGCUAAAUGCUGGAUUAGAGAUCUUCACCAUCACUCUAAAUUUGCACCGAAAGCACAUGAGGGUUUUAUGCUUGGUUACGGAAAGGACUCGCACACCUACAAAGUCUUCAACUUAAAUCAUCACAAGGUUGUUGAAACUGUAGACGUGUGGUUCGAUGAAACUAAUGGCUCGCAAAGAGAGCACCUACCUCCUGUGCUAGAUGAAAUGUCACUUGAGGAAUCCAUCAGGUUCAAAGCUACUGAGGAUGUCAUCCCAACUUAAGAAUUUGCUGAAGAAACCAUUCCAAAUCGUGAAGAAAAUCACGCUGGUGCUGCUGAAGAAACUGGUCCUGAAGAAAAUGCUGGACCUAAGCAAAGUCGUCAACCUGCACAUCCUCGCGUUGCAAAUGAAGUGCAAAUCGAGAAGAUCAUUGAUGAAUCGACGCACCAUGUCCCCUCACGCGCUCAAAAGAUCUAACUUUUGUGGGCAUUUUGCAUUUAUCUCUAUCAUAGAGCCCACUAAAGUUGAUGAAGCAUUCAUGGAAUCCGAGUGGAUUCAAGCUAUGCAAGAUGAAUUGCAUCAAUUCGAGCUCAACAAUGUGUGGGAGCUUGUCAAGCGACUAGACCCAUGAAAGCACAACAUCAUCAGUACCAAAUGGAUCUACCGCAACAAACAAGACGAAAAUGGCCUCGUGUUGAGGAAUAAGGCUCGUCUUGUAGCUCAAGGCUACACACAUGUUGAAGGAAUUGAUUUCGAUGAAACUUUUGCACCUGUUGCUAGACUUGAGGCUAUUCGCAUAUUGCUUGCUUAUGCUAACCAUCAUAAUAUCAUCUUACAUCAAAUGGAUGUGAAACGUGCAUUCCUUAAUGGUAAGCUUGAGGAAGAAGUAUAUGUUGCUCAACCACUAGGUUUUGAGGAUCCAAAAUUUCUAGAUCACGUCUACAGACUCAACAAGAACCUCUAUGGCCUCAAGCAAGCACCUCGGGCAUGGUAUGACACACUGAAGGAAUUCCUCAUGAAGAAAGGCUUCAAACCCGGUUCACUUGACCCAACCAAAGCAUAUGAUUAUGAAUUAUUCGUGUGCCAAAUAUAUGUUGAUGACAUUAUCUUUGGUUGUACUAACCAACGUUACAGUGAUGAAUUUGCCUAUAUGAUGAGUGAAGAAUAUAAAAUGUAUAUGAUGGGAGAAUUGAAAUUCUUUUUAGGUCUCAGAUUCGUUAACAAUACAAUGGCAUAUUCAUAUCUCAGGAGAAAUACCUCAAGGAUGUAUUGAGGAAGUUCGGAAUGCAAGACUGCAAAGGCGUCAAAAUCCUUAUGCCCACAAAUGGCCAUCUAUGUACUGAUGAAAAUGGUAAAGACUUCGAUCAAAAGGUAUACCGCUCCAUGAUUGGCUCUUUAUUGUACCUAUGUGCAUCUAGGCCGGAUAUUAUGCUUAGUGUUUGCAUGUGUGCCUGAUUUCAAGCUACACCGAAGGAAUAACACCAUAAGGCUGUGAAACACAUUCUUCGAUAUCUAUAUCACACACCAACACUUGGAUUAUGGUAUCCCAAGGGCUCUUCCUUUGAUCUCAUUGGAUAUUUAGACUCUGACUAUGCUGGUGAUCGGGUGGACCGCAAGUCAACGUCAGUCACAUGUCUUUUCCUCGGACGAUCCUUGGUAUGUUGGUCCUCGAAGAAGCAGAACUGCGUAUCACUCUCUACUGCUGAAGCCGAAUACAUUGCAGCUGGAUCUUUCCGUGAUCAAUUGCUAUGGAUGAAGCAAACCCUCAAGGACUAUGGAAUCAAUGUGAAGAAUGUGCCGCUCUACUGCGACAAUGAGAGUGCUAUCAAGAUUGCUCACAACCCUGUUCAACACUCGAAGACAAAGCACAUCCAGAUUCGUCAUCAUUUUCUUCGUGACCAUGUGUUGAAGGGCGACAUCUCCAUCGACCACGCAAAUACUGAAGACCAGCUGGCCGAUAUCUUCACAAAGCCCUUGGAUGAGAAGAGAUUUAGCAAGUUGCGGUGUGAGCUAAAUAGCCUAGAAUAUUCGUACGUUCUUUGAAAAGUACACACAUCCUAACACUUAUGCUGACUUGAUGACUUAGAUGUGCAACACACGAAGUAACAUUUUUCUUCAAUCAAUGAAGACUAACCCUCUAAGUGUGAAGAAAUUAACAAAGAAAUUGAUUCUCACAACCCUACGACAGUUGUAUGCGGUGUCUGAAAUCAGCUUUGUUAUAUGGUGGCUUACGCCACCAACCAAAGUUGAAAAUCUUCAAUUUGAGUUUUUUCUUAAUUUUUGAAAUUCCUCAGUUUACAAAUUCUUCAACUUUGCAUUAUAUUCACUCAUUCCGUCGUUGUUCUUCACUGACUAUAUAUACUUGAGUUUUUAUGUCCUCUACAACAUUCACUUAUUGAUAUUUCUUCAAGUUGAUCUUUCUGCUAAGUGAAUGUGAUCAGACCCUUUCCCCCUCUAUGCUAAACUGAACCCAGUCUGUUCACAAAUUCUUCGUGUGCGUUCUAUUUGAAACUCGUUCAAAUUCAUCACCGUGUCCUUGUCAGCUGAAGAAAUUGCAAACAAAACAUUAAAAAUUCUUAUCUGAAUUUUCGGCUUUUGCUGCUCAAACCGUUACACAUUCCACGAUAAAUCUUAUCUAUUCACCCACGAUCUUACAUGAUCGCCACCUCACAGUACGUGGUGACACAUGUCGCGCGAAUGAGAAGGGUCAGGGGCACGUUCGUCCAAUUUCUUCGGACGAACGGUUUUUCACCUCAGCUAUAAAUACCCCCUCCCCUUCCUCACUUCACUUUUACUCCGCUCGAACUCACUCCCUCGCUCGAGCUUCUCGAACCCUAGCGGUGCCGCUACUUCCAUCGUUGCCGGUGAGGAAGAUCUUCACUGCCUCGAUGUUGUCGCCAUCGUACUCGCGCUGGACGCGGAAAUCUUCACUCCGCCACCGCCGUAGACGUCUUCCUCUGCCGAGUUAUGGUGUGGAAGAUCUGAGCCGACGAACUUCCAAAUCUACACCUCAUGUUCGUCGUGUUCUUCAUCAAGGGUAAUUAAAAGUUACUUUUACUGCAUUUACUCUACUGAUGAUUUUCAUCAAAUCUUCAAAAGGUGUUUAUUCUUCAACCUCCACACUCUAAACACCUAGCACAAAUCUUCAGUUCUUGAUAUGUUUCUCUAAGUGACGUUUUUCUUCAUGAUUCCUCAAUUGUGUGAAUCUAACAAUCCACACAACUCUGGAACCUAAGUCAAAAAACGCUUAGUGAAAUUCUUCAAGACACAACUGGUCAAUUUCCUCAAACUUGUCCAGUUUUACAAAACCAUCUUAGAACGCAUAUGACCUCUCCAAAUUCUUCGCACCAAUACUUUGUUCACAGGUACACAUGUCUGCUGCUGAAUCACUAGGUUCUCAUCAACUUAACUUAUUUGUAGCGUUCCUCGAAGAAAAGCAUCAUACUUCUUCAGAGAACUCUACUAUUCAAAUUCCUUAGCUGAAGAAAAUGGCCGAUGGUAAAAGGCCUCAGGAAGGAGGAAAGAAGCUUGAAGUCAACACUGCCUUUGAAAUCCCUGAUGACAUUUAUGCUGGGUACUGCAUGCCUGAUGAGGCAACUCAUGGCAAAGAAACCAAGAAUGAGCGCAAGGUGCGCAUUCAAAGGAUUGAACGCCGAUGGGCACGGGAGUGGAGAGAUUACAGAUAUGUAACUCCAAAGUAUAUGAAGAAAUUCGCUCUCAACCCUCCUUGCUCAAGACCUCCAUUGGCACCUGGCCAAAGAGCUGAUCCAACAAGCCUUAAACGUGAUGAGGAUUAUGCAAAUGAAUGGGCCAGGAAGCAGUCCAAGUUGGCAAAGCAGGCCAAAGAAGAAGUGAAGAAAUUCAACGAAGAUUCUGCUACUGCUGCCACUGUUGAGGCUUCUACAAGCAAAAAUGCUAUGCCGAAGAAGCCAGCCAAGAAACCAGCUUCCUUAGCAAUGCCCUCACAGCCAAGUUCCUCUGUGCCACCUAGGCAAAAUCCUCAAGGUUCCCCAGUUCCUCAAACUGCACCAGUUGCUCGGGUUUCAAAACCCUCAGCUCCUCCGACAAAGUCCUCAACACCUAUGCAUCUCGCCAUGUGCCAAUGGACCACAUGCUUCUCUAUUGCCUCAGGAGCUUCUGCAAGUUCUUCAUUUCCUCAUCCAUCUUCAAAGAGCCCAACUUUGCUGAAGACCAAGGCCACCGUAGGACGAGGCACUAGACCAAGUCCUCACAAGAAACAAGUUGCUUUUCAAGUGCGUUCUGAUGAUGAUGAGGCUGCUGAUGAUGAAUUAGCUGAUAUCAUCGAAGAUAGAUAGCAAAUGGCAGCUAGAGCCAAAGGGAGUGAUGUGCCUCUUCUAUUGGAUCCGAAGAAGGUCCUAGACUUCAUUGACCUCUGGCACAAGGAUCCAAACACUCCUCUGCCAGAGCUGGGCCUCACUCCUGGACAAAUUCACAUGUUGACGACAUUCAUCACUGAAGAAAAAUGGAAAUAUGAUCAAGCCAGAGUGGCUAAGAAAGCACAGUACAAGAAGCAGCGCUAUCUAAAGGACAAUGUCCUCAGCCUAUCUCCUGAACAACUCCUCGCUCUGCAAGCGGAUAUCAAAAAGCUCAAUGAUGAAUUUGAUUCUUACAAGGCAAAAUGGCUGGGAGCCAAGGUCAGAUUCGUCAAAUUGACGAAGAAAUUCACUUCAAGUGUCGCUGGUCCUGUGCACAUUGAGGUCACUCCACCUGAAGCAUCUGCUCAAGCCACUCAAGGAAAUGCCAGCACCGCUGAUGAAAAUCAGGCUGCUGAUGAAACUGCAAGUACCAGGACUGCUGAAGAAAUUUGAGUCGCUGAAGAAACUGCCAAGGCAACCACUACUGUUGUGCCUGAAGAACAUGUCAGGACAACUGAAGAAGCUGAAGCUGUGCCUGAAGAUAUUGCUCAAGAUAGGCCAACUGCAUCAGUUGUGCCUGUAGAAAUUGAUCCAAUUUCCUCUGCUCUGCCUGCACCAACACCAUGCCCAAUUCUUCCUUCUGCUCUGGAAGUGAAGAAAACAAAGGCUGCGGAGCGAGCCGCUCUGAAGAAAAGGAAAGUGUCUGUUUCCUUAGAAUCUUCUACAUCGAAGAAGGCAAAGAUUUUGACAAGUUCAAUUGAGAACCCCAUUGAUGUUGUUCCUCUCUCAAGCAUGCCAUCAAAAAAACUUGUUCCUUUUGGUGAAGAAUAUCAGAUUCCUGAAGAAUCUGUUGGAGAAAAUCCCUCUGCUGCUUCCUUAGAGCAGAUGGAUGAAGAAAUUGAAGUUGAUGUUAUCACUUCAACUCCCCAGGUAUCAUCGCCAACGCCUCAGUUCACAGCUGAAGAAGCCGGCGUGGAAGAAAUGGAAGUGUAUGAGGAUGUGGACAUUGGGAGCACCACACCUGUCAUGAAUGAUGACUUUUGGGAAAGUUAGCACCCCAACUCUCCCAUGUUCACACCUCUGCAGCAAAUUCGACAGUCCCCAGUACCUACUGAAAUUCAUAUGGGCUCUAAUGAUAUUCAUCAUACUCCUUCCAUUCAUGAAGAGAUUCCAGUCACUAGUGCUGAUGAAAAAGUUGAUGAAGAAAUGGAGGCCUAGGCUACUAAAGCAGAAGCAGAUAUUCCUCAGCCUGAGGCUCCGGAGAUUGAGAUUCCCGAGGUUAUUCUUCAACUGACUGAUACUCAGCCCAAGCCAACAAAUCCAUUCUCCAAGACUCCAAAGUUCAAGGAUGGUGCUUUCUUCAACGAUCAUGUAUUCUUCAUUGACUACAACCGCUAUGACUCUGCUCGUCUGCGAAGGAUGAGAUUCUGGACUGCCAGCCAAGCCAACCUUUAUUAUUCUAUGCUUUUCAAUAAGGACAAAGUCUUCGACCAUGCUCAUAUUCCUCAUGUAGAUAUGGAAUCACUGCCUUGCUUCACCCCAGUCCUCGCUGCUAUUCAUGAUGCUGGAUUGCUAAAUUUCUGCACUGACAUUUGCAAUUGGAAUGAAGAACUCAUUCUUCAAUUCUAUGCGAUGCUGCACAUCAUAGGCGAUGCUGAAGAUGUGAAUUCAUGGGUGUCGGACUGGAUGACAGAAAACACUCACUAUAAGGCACCAGCAACUGAAUUGCUUUGUGCCAUGCCUGUUAGUCCUCCCCUAGAAGGUGCACGUCUCAUCUACUCUGAAAUUGAGCUGUCUGAUCAUUUGAUGCAAGUUCUGAUGAAGCCAUUGAAGCCUGGUCAAGCCUCAAGGACAAAGUUCCUUGUGAAGGAAUUGCAAUAUGUGCCAAGGACUGUCUACCGCAUUCUGACCAAGACUUUGAGUCCAAUCAAAGGCCACGACUCGAAUGACGAAGAAGUCGUUGGCAUCAUGCAGAAUCUGCUUUGCAAUAUCAUACAUGGGAUUCCAGUGAACUACCAUGAUUUCUUCAUGAGGACUCUGGCAAAUGUUGCAAUGUCUCCGUUUGAGUUGAAUAUGCGCCCUGGAUUAUGAGAUUCCUCAGAUCAAGGUCUUGACUCAACUACAAAGCUGAUACACUCAACCAUGGCAGCUACUUGCCCCCAAUUGAAGUCCUCAAGCGAACAUUUUCCUCAGCUGAUAAAAAGGGCAAGGCCACUGCUAUUAUUGGUGAGGGCAUUCGUCCAUUGGAUGGACAGUUUCGCAAAGCUGCUUCAUAUUCCACCAAUGAUGACUCUACUACUCAUGACUCUGCCGUCAAUGCCUCAAAGCAAAGUCCUCAGGCUACAGCUCCAAGGGUGAUGACUGAUUGUGAACUUCUCCUCAGUCUUCAUCAGAAGGUUAAUCGCAACCAUAAAUGGGUCAAACGUCAGUUUAGUUCUAUUAUUCACAACAUGACGGCCACAUAUAAUUCAGUGAAGAAUAACCACGACUACCUCAAUGAAGUUUUUGAUUGCACCCGGGCUGUCCUGACUCAUCUCUACGACAAUGAGGAUCUCAAGCAGAUGGGUUUCAAGCAGGAUUUCGGCUGGUCCAAACCUACAACUCAUAUUCUUCAUCCCGUGAUACUGAUAAAAAUGAAGAUUUGGACGAUACUGCGGCAUGCCCUACUCCAACAACCGACCCCAACAACGCUGGGGCUGCUCCAUCGACUUUGUGAUGAAAUUCUUCAGGGGCGUUAGUCCUCACUUUUUGACCCUUUUGGUCAUUUGAUGACAAAGCGGGAGAAAUUUGAGUUAGUCUUCAAGCGGGUCUAUCUAUAUGGGCAUUUUUUUGUUAAGUUGCAACUCUCGCUCUUCUGAAGCUUUUGUUGAUUGAGUUGUAAACUUAAGUCCGGUGGUGACCUGAUACUUUUGCAUUGUUUUUCUGCAUGCUAUUUCCUCAUAUAUGCUAUGCACACAUGCUAAAUUACAUCAAUCACCACAUUUCAUCAUGCAUUUCAAAUUCUUCAAUCUAUAUGUUAAAUGCGUGUAUGAAUUACAAGAUAUAGGGGAGAUCUCCAUGAUUCUACUCUUCAAGUGAGCAUUGUUUCAAAAGCAAAUUCCUCACCAUGCACAUCUUCAGGGGGACUUCUUCUAUAUCUUGCAAUCAAAUUCCUCACUAUUGAGUACUUUCAGUUCAUAUGUUUAUCCUUGUUGAAAACUUAACCUAUAUUGUCAUCAAUCACCAAAAAGGGGGAGCUUGUAAGUACAUCUAGUGCCCCUUAGUGAUUUUGGUGUAUUGAAGACUUAUAGGUUAAGGGACUAAUAUGUUUGUGAGUGUACACAGGUUCUAUAAGUCGAUGAGGAGUUUGAUAUUUAUAGUGAAAGUCGACCCCUAAAAAUGAAUGUCUUCGGCUGAAGACUUUGGUUCUCCUGGAGACUUUGAAAGUGAAGAAAUUGGUGUGACCUUGAAGACUUGGAUAUUCAUGCGAGGAUUAUGAAGCGUGAAGACUUUUGUUUUCAUAGUUUCAUUUUAUCUUUCUUCAGUUCCAGGAAACAUCAUACUAUUAAAGGGGGUCAAGGUAAUACUAAGGAAACUGAUUUCCAUGUGAUGCUCAUCUCAAAAUCCUACACCUACCCAAUCCUUCGAGUGAAGCCAUUGGAAAUCUCAUAUCAGUUCAGUCAAUUUCUUCAGUCACAGAGAUGAAGAUCUUCUGGUCUCUGAGGAAUUUGUUCUGACUGAGGAGUUAGGAAUUCGCCAGCGCGGAUUGCCUACACAGUGAGGAACAUGAUAGCCCUUAGGAAUUCGAACCUCAAAUAUUCGACCGUUGCAGUACUACGCGCCAGCUGUCUCAAAAAUAUCCACCACCUAACGGUCAUAUCAGCCAAGGGCAUUUAUGUCUUAUCAUGUCGGGCUGCUCCCUAUGAUAUAAAUAGCCGCCCCCUACAACCACUAGCUGGUUGGCUGCUUCGAGAGAAACUGACACUUGUCAUUUGAGAGCAUCCCAUCCUCCGAGGACUUUGAGCAAAAAUCAUCAAGUGAGGAAAUACCUGUUGGAAAUAUGCCCUAGAGGCAAUAAUAAAAUGGUUAUUAUUGUUUUUCCUUGUUAAUGAUAAUUGUCUAUUAUUCAUGCUAUAAUUGUAUUAAAUGGAAACUAUAAUACAUGUGUGAAUACAUAGACCACAACAUGUCGCUAGUGAGCCUCUAGUUGACUAGCUCGUUGAUCAAUAGAUGGUUAUGGUUUCCUGACCAUGGACAUAGGAUGUCAUUGAUAACGGGAUCACAUCAUUAGGAGAAUGAUGUGAUGGACAAGACCCAAUCCUAAGCAUAGCACAAGAUCAUGUAGUUUGUUUGCUAAGAGCUUUUCAAUGUCAAGUAUCAUUUCCUUAGACCAUGAGAUUGUCCAACUCCCGGAUACCGUAGUGUGAUGGUGUGUCCAAACGUCAUAGCUGCACCAUAGUGUGAUGGUAUGUCCGAACGUCAUAGCUACACCCUAUUGGAUAUGGUGCAUGCCAUAAUGUCUCUUAUCAAAUUACCACUAUCGUUUAUGGGUUAGGCAUUAGAGACCACCACAUUCACUUUAAAUAGGGCACCACGCAAUUCCGUCGAGAUGACACCAUAUGAACUAUGGUUUAGAGAAACCUAAGUUGUCGUUUCUUAAAAAAAAUUAGCUGCGACGCCUAUGUGAAAAAGUUUCAGGCUGAUAAGCUCGAACCCAAAGCAGAUAAAUGCAUCUUCAUAGGACACCCAAAAACAGUUCGGUAUACCUCCUGUCUCAGUUCUGGAAGCAAAAGGGAUUGUUUCUAGAAUCGGGUCCUUUCUCGAGGAAAAGUUUCUCUCGAAAGAAUUGAGUGGGAGGAUGGUGGAGACUUGACGAGGUUAUUGAACCGUCACUUCAACUAGUGUGUAGCAGGGCACAGGAAGUUGUUCCUGUGGGGCCUACACCAAUUGAAUAUUGAUCAUGAAACUUCAGAUCAAGUCACUACCAAAACUAGUAGGUUGACAAGGAUACAUACUACUUCAGAGUGGUAUGUAAUCCUGUCUUGGAGGUCGUGUUGCUAGACAACAAUGAACUUACGAGCUAUGGAGAAGUGAUGGUGGGCCCGGAUUCUGACAAAUGGCUCGAGGCCAUAAAAUCCUAGAGAGGAUCCAUGUAUAAAACAAAGUGUAGACUUUGGAAGAACUACUUGAUGGCCGUAAGGCUGUUGGGUGCAGAUGGAUUUUAAAAAGAAGACGGACAAUGAUGGUAAGUAUCACCAUUAAGAAAGCUCGACUUGUCGUUAAGAUAUUUUCCGACAAGUUCAAGGAGUUGACUACAAUGAGACUUUCUCACUCGUAGCGAUGCUAAGAGUCUGUUGGAAUUAUAUUAGCAAUUACUGCAUUAUUUAUGAAGUCUUGCAGAUAGGAUGUCAAAACAUUGUUUCCUCGAUGAUUUUCUUGAGGAAAGUUUGUAUGUGAUACAACCAGAAGGUUUUGACAAUCCUGAAAUAUGCUAACAAGUAUGCAAAGCUCCAGCAAUCCUUCUAAGGACUGGAGUAAGCAUCUCGGAGUUGGAAUAUACACUUUGAUGAGAUGAUCAAUGAUUUUGGGUUUAUACAAAGUUUAUGAGAAACUUGUAUUUCCAAAGAAGUGAGUGGGAGCACUAUACAAUUUCUGAUGAGUAUAUGUUGUUGACAUAUUGUUGAUCAGAAAUGAUGUAGAGUUUCUGGAAAGCAUAUAGGGUUAUUUGAAAAGUGUUUUUAAAUGGAAAACCUGGAUUAAGCUACUUGAACAUUGAGCAUCAAUAUUUAUAAGGAUAGAUCAAAAUCGCUUAAUAAUACUUUCAAACGAACACAUACCGUGACAAGAUUUUGAAGGAGUUCAAAAUAGAUCGGCAAAGAAGGAGUUCUUGGCUGUGUUAUAAGGUGUGAGUAUUGAGUAAGACUCAAGACCUGACCACGGCAGAAGAGAGAGAAAGGACGAAGGUCGUCCCCUAUGCUUUAGACGUAGGCUCUAUAGUAUGCUAUGCUGUGUACUGCACCUGAAGUGUGCCUUGCCAUGAGUUAGUCAAGGGGUACAAGUGUGAUCCAGGAAUGGAUCACAGGACAACGGUCAAGGUUAUCCUUAGUAACUAGUGGACUAAGGAAUUUUCUCAAUUAUGGAGGUGGUAAAAGAGUUCGUCGUAAAGGGUUACGCCGAUGCAAACUUUGACAAUAAUCUGGAUGAUUCUGAACAGUAAACCGGAUUCGUAUAGUAGAACAGUUAUUUGGAAUAGCUCCAAAUAGAGCGUGGUAGCUGCAUCUACAAGAUGACAUAGAGAUUCAUAAAGCACACACAGAUCUGAAAGGUUCAGACCCGGUGACUAAUAACCUCUCUCACAAGCGAGAUAUGAUCAAACCCCAUGGGUGUUGAAUUCAUUACAAUCACAUAGUGAUGUGAACUAGAUUAUUGACUCUAGUGCAAGUGGGAGACUGUUGGAAAUAUGCCCUAGAGGCAAUAAUAAAAUGGUUAUUAUUGUAUUUCCUUGUUCAUGAUAAUUUUCUAUUGUUCAUGUUAUAAUUGUAUUAACUGGAAACCGUAAUACAUGUGUGAAUACAUAGACCACACCAUGUCCCUAGUGAGCCUCUAGUUGACUAGCUUGUUGAUCAAUAGAUGGUUAUGGUUUCCUGACCAUGGACGUUGGAUGUCAUUGAUAACGGGAUCACAUCAUUAGGAGAAUGAUGUGAUGGACAAGACCCAAUCCUAAGCAUAGCGCAAGAUCGUGUAGUUCGUUUGCUAAGAGCUUUUCUAAUGUCAAGUACAUUUCCUUAGACCAUGAGAUUGUGCAACUCCCGGAUACCGUAGGAAUUUUUUGGGUGUACCAAACGUCACAACGUAACUGGGUGGCUAUAAAGGUGCACUACAGGUAUCUCCGAAAUUGUCUAUUGGGUUGGCACGAAUCGAGACUGGGGUUUGUCACUCCAUAUGACGGAGAGGUAUCUAUGGGCCCACUCGGUAUUGCAUCAUCAUAAUGAGCUCAAUGUGACUAAGUAGUUAGUCACGGGAUCAUGCAUUACGGAACGAGUAAAGUGACUUGCCGGUAACAAGAUUGAACGAGGUAUUGGGAUACCGACGAUCGAAUCUCGGGCAAGUAACGUACCGAUUGUCAAAGGGAAUUGCAUAUGGGAUUGCUUCAAUCCCCGACAUCGUGGUUCAUUCGAUGAGAUCAUUGUGGAACAUGUGGGAGCCAACAUGGGUAUCCAGAUCCUGUUGUUGGUUAUUGGCCGGAGAGGUGUCUCGGUCAUGUCUGCAUGGUUCCCGAACCCGUAGGGUCUACACACUUAAGGUUCGGUGACACUAGAGUUGUUAUGGGAUUUAGUAUGUGGUUAAAGAAUGUUGUUUGGAGUCCCGGAUGAGAUCCCGGACGUCACGAGGAGUUCCGGAAUGGUCCGGAGGUGAAGAUUUAUAUAUGGGAAGUCCAGUUUCCGUCAUCAGAAUCGUUUUGGGGGUUAUCGGUAUUGUACCGGGACCACCGAAAGGUGUCCGGAGGUCCAUCGGGUGGGGCCACCUGCCCCGGGGGACGAUGACCUGAAUAUGGGAGGGAACCAGCCCCUCGUGGGCUGGUGCGCCCCUCCCCAAGGGCCCAAGGCGCCUAGGGUUGGAAACCCUAGGGAGGGGGCGCCUCCACCUUGCUUGGGCGGCAAGUUUCCCCCUCCUGGCUGCCACCCCCCCUCUAGAUUGGAUCUAGAGGGGCCGGCCCCCUCUCCCCUUCACCCUAUAAAUAGAUGGGGGGUGGGAGGGCUGCAGCACCCUUGCUUUUGGCGCAGCUCCUCCCUCCCCCAACUCUUCCUCCUCCCCCGUAGUGCUUGGCGAAGCCCUGCAGGAAUACCACGAGCUCCGCCACCGCCAUGCCGUCGUGCUGUCGGAGUUCUCCCUCAACUUCUCCUCUCCCCUUGCUGGAUCAAUAAGGAGGAGACGUCCCCGGGCUGUACAUGUGUUGAACGCGGAGGCGUCGUCCGUUCGGCGCUAGAUUGGAUCUUCCGCGAUUUGAAUCGCCGCGAGUACGACUCCAUCAUCCGUGUUCUUGUAACGAUUCCGCUUAGCGAUCUUCAAAGGUAUGAAGAUGCUCAUCCUCUCCCUCUCUUGUUGAUAGAAUCUCCAUAUAUUGAUUUUGGGGAUGCAUAGAAAAUUUUGAAUUUCUGCUACGUUCCCCAACAAUACCCAAAUCCCAAACCCAAACCUACAAACCCCAAAGUGAUUGAGCAUCACUGAAGAGAUAGUUCCUGUGUGGAACCGAUGCUUGUUACCUUUGAGGACUGUGUAUCCUCCAGACGGUUAGGCGUCAUGGUCUGAGCAUCCAAGAGGAAUUGUGGAUUGCCGAGUGACCAAGUCUGUGAAGGUUUGGAAGUCACCUGUGAAGACUUACCACUACUGUUGGGCGAGAUUUGCUUGAUCUUAGCUCAAGGAGAAUACGAUGAGGACUGUGUGUCCUUGAGUUUAAAUACUCAGCCGCUCCAACCAGACGUACAACUGUCACAUCAGUUAGAACUGGUCGACCAAAUCAUUCUCUUUUCCAAGCCUACUGGUUCUAUUUCCUCAACCCUUUCAUUUCCUCAAUUAUGUGUUGAUGAACCUAAUCAUUACUAUUUCAAGACUUUGACUGAAGACUUUCUCUACUUCCUCACUCCUAUUUCUUCAGUCAGUUUGUCUUCAUCAUGUUAUCCUGUGUUUACGCUUUCUGUACUCUAUGUUUUGUCUUUCAUUUCAUCAUGAAGACUGUGUUGUUGCUCUGUUAUGCUUAUACAUGAGUAUUUAUUCCGCUGCAAGUAGUUCUUUGCUUAGGAAUUUCCUCACCCUGAAAUUCCUCAGUGAAGAAUUCAUAAAAAUUGCCUAUUCACCACCCCCCUCUAGUCAACGUAACGCACUUUCAAUCGGCCUCCUUCCGGCGUUGAUCAACGAGAAUGUGAAAUGGAGGCGCAUUCACACGUCUUCGAUUAUCAUCACAUGCAUGCCGGAGUUACCAAUGCGUGCCAUUCAACCGAUAAUGAUUACCACAGCUCGAUGAUGCCCCUUUCAUUGCUGCGAUGAUUCCCACACCCGUUUCCGUUCAUUUAUAUGGAGCAAUGCCAUUGCAACACCCCUCACCAACAUUUCCUCACUCCCUCUCCCCCUCACCAGUGUUGUCUUGGUGCCUACUAUAAGUGCAUCUAGUGCCCCUUAGAGAUUUUGGCCUAUUGAAGACUUAUAGGUUAAGGGACUAAUAUGUUUGUGAGUGUACACAGGCUCUAUAAGUCGAUGAGGAGUUUGAUAUUUACGAUGAAAGUCAAGCCCUAAAAAUGUAUGUCUUCAGCUGAAGACUUUGGUUCUCCUAAAGAUUUUGAAAGUGAAGAAAUUGGUGUGACCUUGAAGACUUGGAUAUUCAUGCGAGGAUUAUGAAGCGUGAAGACUUUUGUUUUUGUAGUUUCAUUUUCUCUUUCUUGAGUCAUAGGAAACACCAUACUGUUAAAGGGGUGAGGUUAUACUAAGGAAACUGAUUUCCAUGUGAUGCUCAUCUCAAAAUCCUACACCUACCCAAUCCUUUCGAGUGAAGCCAUUGGAAAUCUCAUAUUAGUUCAGUCAAUUUCUUAAGUGACUGUCGGUGUCAAAACCGGCGGAUCUUGGGUAGGGGGUCCCGAACUGUGCGUCUAGGCGGAUGGUAACAGGAGACAAGGGACACGAUGUUUUUACCCAGGUUCGGGCCCUCUCGAUGGAGGUAAAACCCUACUCCUGCUUGAUUAAUAUUGAUGAUAUGGGUAGUACAAGAGUAGAUCUACCACGAGAUCGGAGUGGCUAAACCCUAGAAGCUAGCCUAUGGUAUGAUUGUUGUUCGUCCUACGGACUAAAACUCUCUGGUUUAUAUAGACAUCGGAGAGGGCUAGGGUUACACAGAGUCGGUUACAAUGGGAGGAGAUCUUCAUAUCGUAUCGCCAAGCUUGCCUUCCACGCCAAGGAAAGUCCCAUCCGGACACGGGACGGAGUCUUCAAUCUUGUAUCUUCAUAGUCCGGGAGUCUGGCGAAAGGUGUUAGUCCGGCCAUCCGGACACCCCCUAAUCCAGGACUCCCUCAGUAGCCCCUGAACAAGGCUUCAAUGAUGACGAGUCCGGCGCGCAAGUUGUCUUCGGCAUUGCAAGGCGGGUUCCUCCUCCGAAUAUUUCAUAGAAGAUGUUGAACACCAGCGUAGUGUCCGGAUCUGCAAAAUAAGUUCCACAUUCCACCGUAGAGAGAAUAAUAUUUGCGUUAAUCGGAUCUGCUGACGUAUUCCGCGGCGUGACAUCAUGCCAUGGCCAGGCUUUUUUUCAUUUUAUUGUUCCACCUCAGCGCGUUCAGCGAGGCAGAGGAAGAAGAAGAUGCCUCUCCCCCUCCAACGGGGGGAGGAAAGAAAAGAAAGGUCGCCCCAACUGGGGAAGCCAGAGGGUCCAUGAAGGGGAAGACCCUUCUGCCGGACUACGCCUCCGAUGCCGAAGACGGUGGGGAGGAAUGGCCAUUCAGGGUCAAGCCCCUGGCAAAAUCGUAAGUGUCCGGAUACCCGAAUGACUUAUUGCACUCCUUUAUUAUUCAGUAGCUUCUCACGCCGAAUUUAAUUAUGCAGUCCGCCCAGAGCUCAGCUCGGCGAUUCGUUGAGCGGCUCCCUGAAUUCGUCGGAUGUGAAUAGCGCUUCACUUCCGACGGCUUCCUCCCCGCACCCUACGGACGAUGCCGAGGUGGGGUCCCGAAAGGGACUAAACCAGGAGGAGGUGGUCCUGGAGGCGCCGCAAGGCGAUCUCCCGGACUCCAGGCCCAAAGGGGGUAAAGCCCCGGAGGGAUCUAAGUCCGGCCCCGGGCCGGACACUGCUCCGGAACCAUCAACGGUUCCAGAGUCCGACAGGCAGCGCCUUCAUAAGAAGGGCAGGCCUACGACGCCGGCGACCCCCGCCCAUCCGGAGGCGCCGGACAAUUUUCUAGAGGUGCUUAACGUUGCUUCCAUCAACGAGGAAUACCGCACUGUUAUGAGUGCGGUGAUCCAGAAGGUUCAGUCCGCCAAGAGCGGGCUGACAGAAGCCUGUACAAGCCUGUUAACAGGCUUUGAGGUAUGUGUUAAAAAACAUAUAAAAAGUAUUACCGCAUAGACAGUAGCCCCUGAUGCUGAGUUCGGUGUUCGGAAAGAAAAGCCGAGCUGAGGAUCUAAAAAUAUAUACACAGGAGUUUAAUAGAAAUAUGUCAAUAUGGGAAUGCAGGCUGUGCUGCUGACCUCUGCCGCACUGACUGCGGAGGUCAAUGCAUUGAAGGAAAGCCUCGAGCGGUCCGAGAGCAAGGUCGGCCAUGCCAAGAAGCAGCUCGAGGAUAAAGAGGGUACAUAGUACCUCCUGUAAAUGUAUAUAGAAAUACUUGGUUGCAAAAUAAGAACAGGACCAACGUUAAUGUUGCAGGAGCCACGACCGAGGUGGCGACCCUGAAAGAGGCGGUCUCCAAGGCCGAAAAGAGUGCGGCCUUGGAGCGCACCGAGCGAGAGAAGCAGGAGGCGCGGGUGGCGGAGGUGCGGCAAGAGCUCCAGGCUCUCAUGGAAAAACACGAGAGUUUGGAGCGUGACUCGAAGACUCGAGAGUCCGAGCUUGCCUUGGCUCUUGAGAGUGCCAAGACUGCUAAGGCCGAAGCCCAGAAGGCCUUCAGGAGAUCGAGGCGAUGAAGAAGAUAGCGGUGGGUAAGGCAUUCUUUAUGCAAAGCAAAAAUAUAAAAGUUAAUUAUCUGCUACUUACCCGAAUCCGGAGCUCUCCAGGAGCGUUCGCCGAUCUGCCCCGUAGUGUGUCUGAUGCCGCCGCAUACUACCGAGCUGAAGAGGGGAGCUCGACGGAAAAAGUGUUCUGGUCUCAGUAUGCUGAGGCCGAACAUCCGGUGCCCCUGAGCGACCAACUGAAGCAGCUGGUCGAGCUCCACAAGGUGGCCGAACAGGCCAUGAAGGGCCUCGUAGCUCAGCUGUGUCCUGGAGAAGUCAUGCCUGGGAGCUACUUCAGUCUGGUGUAGCGGCUGGUGGACGCUUGUCCAUGGAUUGAGGUCAUCAAGCGCUCCGUUUGUAUUGAAGGUGCCCAUCGGGCCCUUGCCCGUGCUAAGGUGCACUGGGGCAAGCUAGAUGCGGAGAAGCUGUUGACGGACGCACCACCGCCGGGCAAGGAGUAUCGUACGCCCGAGAUGUAUUAUAAUGGCGUUCUGAAGGGUGCCCGCCGUAUAGCGGAUGAGUGCUCCAAAGAUGUAAUUUUUUAGUAGACUCUCAUUUGUUAUCCUUUACGCUGAAGCUUUGUUCAUAUGCGUUAAGCAACGCUUGUUAAUUUAAAAUAUUACCUUUUGUGCGGCAGUUUAUCAAAUUAGAGAGAUGCAAGUCGUCGGCUUCGACCCCCAUGCCACGAGUGCUGGGGUGUUCGGGAUAAACCUGAGCGCUCUUGUUCCCAUUCUUGGGUCCAUCUAGGGAGGCGUUCAGCACAACGAACCAGGCCGUUGGACUUAUAAUGCUUUAUUACUCUCACUUAGGCAUAGAAUUCUAUAAUUUUAAAUUUCGGCGAAGCCCCUAGUAUUCGGAAGACAGAGUUCGGGGCGCUAUCCACACCUAGGCCGGAUGAGUCCGGUUCCUCGCUCGAAGCGGCAUAAGUCUUUAAGGACUCGAAGAAACCUCGCGAACAGCGACCAGUCUCUCACACUAUCAUGACAGUCAGUUUUAGCUUUCUCUACUGAGGUGUUAACCCAGCUCAACUGGGGCACAAUCGCAGUAGUUCUCCCAGCGCUACCUUAGCCAACAAUGCGGAACGUAAGGUACCAAAACAUGGGAGCCGGGCAAACCCAACUAUUGACCAAAGACAUGAUUCGAAGCCGAUGCAUAUAGUGCUAUAAGUUCGGGGUGCCGCACUCAUGAGAGUGUUCGGUCUUCUCACACCAUGUUAUGGGGUGUUGUAAGCCCCUGGUGUAUUGUCCGCACCAAAGUGUACGGUUGCAGAAUGUCAUGACUGAACAUAUUUGUAUAUAAAAAUAGAUAAGUACAAUAAUAGGUAAGAGCUAUAUAUUGUUUAAUAAAAAAGGGGCUGCUACGAAAGCAGAACGAUACAAGAAGUGCGGUAAGCAAGAGAUGGGAGUAUUUGACAUAUUUCCCUCCAGGGGCAAGCUGCGGGAUUGUAAAUAAAACAGGUAUUAAACUCGUUAUAGAGACCACCUGGACUUUUGACGUGGCUUGCUCCCUCCCUGGUUGUUGCAUCGUGGGUUCGGCGAGUGUAUUGCCGGACAGGCCUUCCGAAUAGUUGGGUCCUGAAAGUGUGUAAAAAGGAAAACGGUGAAAUAGGGAGCCCCUUACUGUGGUUGAGCCGCAUUCUGGGCGUGCCGUUGUUGUGCCCCUCCCCUUAUGCCCAUGGUAUCUCUAAGGCGUAAUUAUGUACGCGUGGUACCAGUAUCGCCGUUUGGCGGGGGUUGGGGUUGGGGCCGCACUGCUAUGCUUGCUCGGAACGUGCCAGCCGGAUUUGUUGUAGGUUACUUCGGGCUAGCUUGACGUUGUCUGGACGUUUGAUGCCUGGAUUGGAGAACUGCCUUGAGAGGCUACUCUGUACUUCCGCCGCCAGGGCCACCGUGUGCUCCUCCAUUUGGAGAGAGCGUUCGGUGUUUCCGUUUACCAUGAUGACUCCGCGAGGUCCUGUCAUCUUGAGCUUGAGAUAUGCGUAGUGCGGCACCACAUUAAAUUUUGCAAAUGCGGUUCGUCCAAGCAGGGCGUGAUAGCCGCUGCGAAAUGGGACUAUGUCGAAGAUUAACUCCUCGCCCCGGAAGUUAUCCGGGGAUCCGAAGACGACCUCGAGUGUAACCGAGCCUGUACAGCUGGCUUCUACCCCUGGUAUGACACCUUUGAAGGUUGUCUUUGUGGGUUUAAUCCUUGAAGGAUCGAUGCCCAUUUUUCGCACUGUGUCCUGGUAAAGCAGGUUCAGGCUACUGCCGCCGUCCAUUAGGACUCUAGUAAGGUGAAAUCCGUCAAUAAUUGGGUCUAGGACCAGCGCGGCGAAUCCGCCAUGACGGAUGCUGGUGGGAUGGUCCCUUCGAUCGAAGGUGAUCGGGCAGGAGGACCAUGGGUUGAACUUUGGGGCGACUGGCUCCAGCGCAUAGACGUCCUUGAGAGCACGCUUCCGCUCCCUUUUGGGGAUGUGGGUUGCAUAUAUCAUGUUCACCGUCCAAACUUGCGGGGGAAAUCCCUUUUGUCCUUUGUUGUUCGGCGGCCGGGGCCCCUCCUCGUCAUCGCUAUGUAGCCCCUUGUCUCUGGUCUCGGCACUUAACUUGCCUGCCUGCUUGAACACCCAACAAUCCUGUUGGUGUGAUUGGCUGGCUGUUCGGGGGUGCCGUGUAUCUGGCACGAGCGAUCGAGUAUCCGGUCUAAGCUGGAUGGGCCCUGAGGGUUUCUUUUGAAUGGCUUCUUCUGCUGACCCGGUUUAGAGCCUCUGAAUCCGGCAUUGACUGUCGUAUCUUCAGUAUUGUCACCAUUAAUGCGGCGCUUAUGCUUGUUGCGACAUGACCUGCCGUUGUUAUCCUUGGUAUCCGAAUUGCCGGGGCUCUUGGUUAUGUUAUUGCUACGAGCUAGCCAGCUGUCUUCUCCCGCACAGAAGCGGGUCAUGAGUGUCGUGAGGGCUGCCAUAGAUUUCGGAUUUUCCUGUCCUAGGUGCCGGGCAAGCCAUUCGUCUCGGAUGUUAUGCCUGAAGGCUGCAAGGGCCUCGGCGUCCGGACAAUCGACUAUUUGGUUUUUCUUGGUUAGGAACCGUGUCCAGAAUUGUCUGGCCGAUUCUUCUGGCUGCUAGAUUAUGUGUCUUAGGUCAUCGGUGUCUGGUGGUCGCACAUACGUGCCCUGGAAGUUGUCAAGGAAUGCGGAUUCCAGGUCCUCCCAACAACUAAUUGACUCUGCUGGCAGGCUGUUAAGCCAAUGUCGAGCUGGUCCUUUAAGCUUGAGCGGGAGGUAUUUGAUGGCGUGUAGAUCAUCACCACGGGCCAUGUGGAUAUGAAGGAGAUAAUCCUCGAUCCAUACCGCAGGAUCUGUUGUGCCAUUGUAUGAUUCGAUGUUUACGGUUUGAAGCCCUCGGGGAUUUGAUGAUCCAUUACUUCGUCUGUGAAGCAUAGUGGGUGUGCGGCGCCCCUGUACUGGGCUAUAUCACGACGCAACUCGGACGAGCUUGGUCUGUUGUAUUCGGCCGGGCCAUACUUAUUAUGUCCGGCAUGACGGAUAGCGUCACGUGAAGCGAGGCACCCAUGCGAUCCGUAGAUCGAUCUUGUUUGCCUUGCCUUAUUCUCCAAGAUGUCUCGCAGGUCUGUUGCGUCUCCCUGUACUCUGGUAUGUUUUGAGCGGUGUCGGGGUGCGUCUUGGGUUGAGGGCCUGAAGGCCUCUCUAUCGUGGCCACGGGGUGGCCGAUUGGGCGCAUCGUACGCUGGUGAUGUAGGUUUAGUUUCUUCCUCCUCAAGUUGGGGUAGCAGCCUGCGCUUCGGGUAGCUCUUGGAUGGGCGUUCUAGUUUAUACUCUUCGGCCGCCAGGACUUCGGUCCAUCUGUCGGCUUGCAAGUCUUGGUCAGCUCUAAGCUACUGCUGUUUCUUCUUGAGGCUGCUUGCCGUGGCUACGAGCCUGCGUUUGAAACGCUCUUGUUCGACGGGAUCCUCUGGCACGACGAAUUCGUCGUCGUUGAGGCUUGCCUCGUUUUCGGAGGGAGGCAUGUAAUUGUCGUCCUCAUCCUCUUUGUUGGCUGCUCUCUCAUGAGGGCUGGUUCCUUCGUCCUCCUACACUGAAUCCUGCUGCAGGUGGUUGUCCUCGGCACUGUCCGGCGUGUUGUUAUCUCCGAUGCCGGAAUCGCCGUUUUUGCUUUGGUGGGACUUAGAGCGGCGCCGCUGACGUUGGCGCUUGGGUUGCUUCUUGGAGGGGUCAUCCUCCGUUUUCUCCUCGCCAUCCCCUGCUUUAGGGGUGUCCACCAUGUAUAUGUCAUAUGACGAGGUGGCUUUCCAGUUCCCUAUAGGUGCUGGUUCUUGAUCGUCUCCUUCAUCAGCGUCCAUGCCGUCGAUGUCUUCGGAGUCAAAGUCGAGCAUGUCGGUUAAUUCGUCGACAGUGGCUACGAAGUGGGUGGUGGGUGGGCUUCGAAUUUCUUCAUCGUCCACAUCCCAACCGUGUUGGCCGUAGUUCGGCCAGGGCUCUCCUGACAAAGAGAGAGACUUUAAUGAAUUCAGGAUAUUGCCGAAAGGCGAGUGCUGAAAGACAUCCACGACGGUGAACUCCAUGACCGGAGCCCAAUCGGGCUUAAUCGGAAGAGGUGCGGGAUUUACGGAGUCCGGAUCGGAGUCCGGCACCUUGGAGUCACGGGCCUUGCGAGGGACUAGGCUGGUAUCCGGCUCUAUCACCAUAGAGGUUGCAGCUUCCGGGGCGGCGUCCAACCGCCCGUCCCCGACUGGCGUAGUGGGCUCCGAGCUAAUGGUCAGAGCGGACACCUUAACGACGCUCUGGGUGUUGUCCGAUGACAGAGCUAAAUCAUGCCCAUCGUGACAGCGCGGCGCGCCCGGUCGUGGCUCGAAUCCGUCGAAGAUCAAGUCCCCGCGGAUGUCGGCCGUGUAGUUUAAGCUUCCAAACCUGACCUGAUGGCCAGGGGCGUAGCUUUCGAUCUGCUCCAGAUGGCCGAACGAGUCGGCCCGUAGUGCGAAGCCGCCGAAUACGAAGAUCUCUCCGGGGAGAAAAGUCUCAUCCCGGACCACAUCACGAUUGACGAGCGAAGAAGCCAUCGGGCCUAAAGGCGACGACACAGAGGAACUCUUAAUGAAAGCACCAAUGUCGGUGUCAAAACCGGCGGAUCUCGGGUAGGGGGUCCCGAACUGUGCGUCUAGGCGGAUGGUAACAGGAGACAAGGGACACGAUGUUUUUACCCAGGUUUGGGCCCUCUCGAUGGAGGUAAAACCCUACUCCUGCUUGAUUAAUAUUGAUGAUAUGGGUAGUACAAGAGUAGAUCUACCACGAGAUUGGAGUGGCUAAACCCUAGAAGCUAGCCUAUGGUAUGAUUGUUGUUCGUCCUACGGACUAAUACUCUCCGGUUUAUAUAGACACCGGAGAGGGCUAGGGUUACACAGAGUCGGUUACAAUGGGAGGAGAUCUUCAUAUCGUAUCGCCAAGCUUGCCUUCCACGCCAAGGAAAGUCCCAUCCGGACACGGGACGGAGUCUUCAAUCUUGUAUCUUCAUAGUCCGGGAGUCCGGCCAAAGGUCUUAGUCCGGCCAUCCGGACACCCCCUAAUCCAGGACUCCCUCAGUGACAAAGACGAAGAUCUUCUGGUCUCUAAGGAAUUUGUUCUAACUGAGGAGUUAGGAAUUUGCCAGUGCGGAUUUCCUACACAGUGAGGAACAUGAUAGCUCUGAGGAAUUCGAACCUCAAAUAUCCGACCGUUGCUGUGCUAUGCGCCGGCUGUCCAAAAAUAUCUUCCACCUAACGGUCAUAUCAUUGAAGGGCAUUUAUGUCUUAUCAUGUCGGGCUGCUCCCUAGGCUAUAAAUAGCUGCCCCCUUCAACUACUAGCCGAUUAGCUGCUCCACGAGAAACUGCCACUUGUCAUUGAGAGCCCAUCCUCCGAGGACUUUGAGCAAAAAUCAUCAAGUGAGGAAAACCCAAAACCCAAACCCAAACACCUAUAAACCCAAAGUGAUCGAGCAUCACUGAAGAGAUUGUUCCUGUGUGGAACCGACGCUUGUUACCUGUGAGGACUGUGUAUCCUCCAGACGGUUAGGCAUCAUGGUCUAAGCAUCCAAGAGGAAUUGUGGAUCACUGAGUGACCAAGUCUGUGAAGGUUUGGAAGUCACCUAUGAAGACUUACCACGAGUGUUGGGCGAGGUCUGUGUGACUUUAGCUCAAGGAGAAUACAGUCAGGACUAUGUGUCCGGGACUAUGUGUCCUCGAGUUUAAAUACUCAGCCGCUCCAACCAAACGUACAAAUGUCACAAUAGUUGGAACUGGUCUACAAAAUCAUUGUCUUCACCAACCCAACUGGUUCUAUUUCCUCAACCCUUUCAUUUCCUCAUUCAUGUGUUGAUGAACCUGAUCAUUACUGUUUGAAGACUUUGACUGAAGACUAUCUAUUUCCUUAAUCCAAUUUCUUGAGUCACAUAGUCUUCAGCCUGCUUACCUUAUUUUCACGCUAUAUGUACUCUGUUCUUGUUUUCAUUUCAUCAUGAUGACUAUGUUGUUGCUCUGUUAUGCUUAUACCUGAGUACUUAUUCUGCUGCUAGUGUGCCGUUGCUUAGGAAUUUCUUCACCUAGAAAUUCCUCUGUGACGAAUUUGUAAAAAUUGCCUAUUCACCCCCUAGUCGAUAUAACACACUUUAAAUUGGUAUCAGAGCAAGGUACUCCCUUGUUCUGUGUGAUUUUGGUUUAACCAUCUAGAGUUCUAUUUAUGUUGACUACAUGAAUGAAGAAAGUGACAUGCCCCAUCUUUGACGGUCAUGAGUAUCCCAAGUGGAAGGUCAUGAUGAAGAAGCGACUCAUGGUGAUGAACAUCGAAUUGUGGACCGUCACUGAGAUUGGUCUUACCGAUCUAUGAAAGAUGGUGGAGGCUAAUGAUAUUCGCAAGUACACUCUACUUAACCUCACGACGAAGGAUAUCAUCUGCUCCUGUUUGUCCCAAAAUUAGUUCAGUAACAGCAUGCAUCUGAACCAUGAGAAGCUUAUCUGGGACCGACACUUUGAGGUCUAUGAAGGUCAUCAAACUCGUCAUGAUCCUUGGUUUGAGGAUUUCAAGGAAUCACUCAAGGAGAUGACUUUUACCCCAGAAUCAUCACCCACUGCACCAUGCCUUAUGGCAAAGUGUGCCAAGGUAACUGAAUGCUACCUUAAUCUAGUGAUGAUGAAUCUUGUGAUGAAUUUGGACCCAGCUACACUAAACUGUCUUCCCUUGCCACUAAACAACAAAGAACGCUUGAAAAAGUUCAAAACAUGCUUGAUGAAAGCGAUGAUAUGUUGGGUGAGGAACUGAAUCGAACAAAGACUUUGACUGAUAAUCUUCAGAGACUUUAGUCUAGGUUUGACAACCUUCAAAAUCAUCAUAACACUCUCUCAUCUGAUCAUGAGAAGCUUUCUUAUUAUUUCUUCAGAGAAAGAAAGAUUUUGAGAAGCUAAAAGUGAGUUAUGAAGAUCUUCAUAAGGAAAAUGGUUCAUGCUUGCUCAACAAUUAAUUCUUCACCUGAAUGUUCAAAUGCUUCUAUUGCUGCAAAUUCUUAAACUAUCUCUGUGGUCACAAAUUCCUCAUCUGAGGAUACCACAAGUAUCACUGACGAUAAUGCAGGGUUGAAGGAAUUGUAUGUGACAAGCAUAUACAAAAGCUUCAAAGGGCAUCAGACUCUUUGUGAUGUGCUCAAAAAGCAGAUCUUGAUCAGGAACCCUAGGAAAGAGGGUAUUGCCUUUGAGAGGAAACUCAAUGCUGAUGGGACCUACUGGAAACCUGAAAAGUACCCCAAAACCUCACGGGUUGCUGCGAAAGGACCUUCUGUAGAUCCAUGCACUUUAUCUGGCUUUACUUGUGAAUCCUCAUAUUCCUCUGAUGAGUCAUUUUACUCCAACUAUAAAUUGUUCAAGAAUCAGAAUGGUGAAGUAUUUGCUCGAUAUGUUGGAACUAACUGCAGGAACGGUCCCCCUAUGAAGAAAAUCUGGGUUCCCGAAAGGUGCCUUGAAAAUCUAUAGGUGAAUGUCAUCAUUACAGCACCUAUGAAGAAUAGGAACCCCAGAUCAAAUUCUUCAUAUGGAUCCAAGCCCUCUUAUGGACCGAAUUCUUCAUCUGGAUCAAAUUCCUCACGUGGAUCCAAAUCCUCAUAUGAACUUCAUUGUGCUAACACUUCUGUUUUGCAGGGAAAGUCUAAAGGCUAUGAAUAUGUGCAUUAUUCUUCAAACCAUUAUGUUCAUAAGUCCUAGAAGAAUUUUUCUGCUUAUUCAUAUGCUUAUCCUAACCCCUCUUUUGUGAAACAAAGUGCACUGGCUUCAAUGCCAUAUUUUUCUUAUGGAGCUCGCAGAAUGAUGAACUCUUUGCCACCCCUCCAGAUGUGGGUGGUUAAGAAAAAGAACUAACCCCUCAUGCAGGAUCAGGUCUCUAGACAAACUUAAUCGUCUGAAGAAUUUGCUGGAGACAUGAAUGUGCUUGAAUGGACGCAAGCUAAUCAUGAAGAAAUGAAUUACUCAUUUCUCAUGUCCUCAUGUUGCUAUAUCUGUUACUACUGAUGAAAUUGAUAUCAUAUUCUUCACUGAUGAAGUAUAUGGGUUCGUAAGUUGCACUAAUUCAUGUGCAGGAUGAACAACCCAAAGCUACUGAGUGGGUCCUCGAUAGUGGAUGUACAAAUCACAUGACUGGUGACAGGAACUUGUUGAUUGACACUAAUUUGUCACCAUCUCAUCUGAAGCAUAUAACCUACGCUGACAAAGGCAAAAGCAAGGUAUUGGGUCUAGGUAAGGUUGCAAUCUCAAAGGAUAGACACGUGGACAAAGUCAUGCUCGUCGAGUCCUUAGGAUUCAACCUCAUGUCUGUCUCAAUGCCUUGUGAUCUUGAUAUGGUUGUCUUCUUUGGCAAAUAUCGCUGCAUUGUGCUAAUGGAAUCUGACAAUUCCAAAGUCUUCGAAGGCUUUAGGAGAGGAGACUUGUAUAUUGUUGAUUUCUCUGCAGGACCACAGCCUACCCCAUGUCUACUUGCAAAAGCUUCAGAAGGCUGGUUAUGGCAUCGACGACUUAGUCAUGCUGGGGUGAGGAACUUGCAUAAAAUCGCGAAGAAGAAGCAUGUCAUUGGCAUCGAGGGUGUCAAAUUACUCAAAGAUCAUCUUUGUGGGGCUUGUGAGGCUGGAAAGAUCACUAGAGCCAAGCAUCCCUCGAAGACUAUCAUGACCACUUCUCGUCCCUUCGAAUUACUUCACAUGGAUCCCUUCGGCCCUACUCAUUAUGCCACGUUCACUAAUUCUGCAUCAUUAUAUGGCUUUGUCAUUGUUGAUGAUUAUUCUCGUUACACCUGGGUGCAUACACUACAAAAAAUACACUUCCAUGAUGACACGUGUUUGUCAUAGUAGGUCGCGUUUUUUUCAUGCAUGUACAUCCAUGACGAUUUUAUGACAUAAUCGGGAUAGGCAUACCUGUGCUGUCGUAGAAGUGUUCCAUGACUUUACCAAAAUUAUCAUCACGGAAGUGUCCACUUCCAUGACGAUAAAUCGCGCGUCACAGAAGUGCUUUCAUCAAAGGUGACCGACACAUGGCAUCCACCAUAACAGAACGCUGUUAAGCUAUCAGGUCCGGUUUUGGAUCCGGUAACCCAUUAACAGCCCCGGCCAAUGGGGAUUUUCCACGUAUAAAAUCAUCAUUGGCUGGAGGAAACACGUGUCCGCUCACUGUUGGGACAGAUGUCAUCCACUCAUUGGACCGAAGGCGCCUAUGAUACGGCGACACAUGGCACGGCCCAACAGAGGCCCAUUCCUGUGAAAAGGCUGGCCCCGUUUGACUUGGUUAAAAGGUGGCGGGCCGGCCCACGGAAAGCCUGUUAAUGGCCUGUUCGCAUAUAGCCCAUUUACAACCCGCUAACCCAGGGGCCGUUACGACCUCUCCGAAUUAGGCCCAGUAGCAUCAUCUGGGCCGUCCAAUAUGAUUCCAGCCCAUUUUAACUUCCAGCCCAUGUGUGGCCCAUGACUUCUUUCGGCCCAUAUUAGGCCCUUUGUAACUCUUGGCCCAUUAACGGCCCGUGGUGAAACUGGCCCAUAAUAAAUAGUGUAUCACUUUCUACCCAUUAAUGGCCCGUUAUUCCAUUGGGCCGUUUCUAGCCCAAGUUAUCUUUCGGCCUUCUGAGGGCCCAUUUAUUCUUUGGCUCAUUUGCAGCACUCGGUUACUUACGGCCUGUUACUGUCAUUUUCUGCUUGUGGGCCAAAUUCAGCCCAUCAUUACAGUCGGCCCAUUUGUGGACCGUUAAUCUGUUGGGUCAUUUUCAUAGCAUCACCAAAGACGGCCUAUUAACGGCCCGUUAUGGUCAGCCCAUAAAACGUAUGAUUUCCACUCUAGUUCGUCUACGGCCCAUUAAAGGCCCGUACAAGGCCCAUAGGUGAGUCGGCCCGUACAAGGCCCAUUGAUCCUACGAGAUGUAGAAGGCCCAUGGAUCCGACGGCCCAUUGAAGGCCCAUGGACGCGACGACCCAUAGAAGGCCAUGGAUCGUCCGUCCCAUACAUGGCAAUGGAUCGUACGGCCGUGGAGGGCCAUGGUCACUACAACGUUUGGCCGAGAUGGCCCUCGUUUGAACGAUAUAGCAUAUUCAAAGAAUUAUCCUACUCUAUACUAUCACCUCUAAAAAACAUACACUAUACAACAAAGAGACCAAGGCAUAGAAACGUAGAAUAAUCCUACACUAUACAAUAAAGAAAUUACAUCCGAUUAUACCCACUGGGCAUUAUGGUUCGGCACAGGUGAUAAUAAAGCAUACUCAAAUAGAAAAUUACAUACACUGGGCAAAUACAGCUCAUACAUCAUGGACGCGCAUCAACUUAACUCCAUUUGAACUAUAAUAUCUUCAGAAAAUAGGAUUGGCCGGAUUCAGAUAGCAGAAAUUUCAGUCUGCAAAAUCUCCAAUUCCUUCGUGGUUACCGCGGUGUCUUGUUUCAUUUUUUUGACUCCUGCAUCUAAUACCUGCAUGUCCAGUCUCAACUUGUUGAUUGUACGUUGACAAUCAUGUACACGUUGUCUUGCCACCUCUAGUUGAUGCUCGAGAACAUUAGCACAUUCCAAUUCCAAUCCAUAAUCAUUCGGUAACGGCCAUGCCUCACUGUUGCAGAUCUUUGUGUUGAUGUCACUUCAUCCUGAAAUGUUUCUGUAAGUACACAUGACUAGGGCAAAAAUAUAGUUACUACAGUGAAGCGAGCAAGACACUAUUUUGUACUACAUGGCAAAACAGGACUAACAAUAAUGUUACACGUUAUGAAGCAUAAGUAGGUGAUAUUUUAAAAAUUAUAAAAAAGAUAGUCUGUGCAGCCUGCAUACAGAAAUCUCUCUUAGCUCACCAGAGGAGCAUGAUGUUGGGGCCCAAUCCAAAACAUAGACAAGUUACAAAUUCAGACAGCAUGUUGCGUAUAAGUAAGCAAGCAGUUGGCCAUUCUAUAGCUCAAUUAAAGUCUUAGGGAGCAUAAUGAACAACAGAGGUUUCAUACAAACAUACUAUAGCAAGCAAAACUAUGCAAUCAUUAGCCUAGUAUAAACUAGAUUGUGAGCCUCAUGCAAUAAUAGUUGGUUAAUAGACUCCAAAGCUUCAGGCACACUUCGGAAGAGUAAUUAAAUGGUAAGGCCUUUAAUUAUGUCAACUAAUAGUUAUACAAGUACCCAACAUCAGCCAUGAUUCUUUGGGCAUCUCAUUAACUGAGGACAAAUAAAGCAAUUGAAAAGAGCAAAUUAACUAUGCCUGAAACAAGCAAGGAAUUGAACUAUUGAGUUGCAUACAGUGACUUACCUUAACAGGUUGAAGAGGCUUAGCGCCGCUCCUACUUAUCUUGCAAGGCUCCUUCCUAACAUCUUGUACUUAGAAAUCUUCAAUCUUAUCUUCAUUGCACCCCUCUACAAGGUGACACAAACUAGUUACUCGUCUCCUUGGAAGAUAAAUAUGCAUACUUUCCAGUCUGUGAACACAAAAGGAUGAGAUUAUAACAAAACAACACCACAUAAUGAAACAUGCCGCAUAUCUUGCACUUGCACAUAAUGAAAUGAGCAUUUACCUUGUCUGCACUAUGUAAAAACUGGGCAUACCUUCGAACUGGAUCUCCAGGUACUCUUGGAGAGCCUACUUUAGUGUACAACCAAACCUUUAUGUCACCUAUGAGUCAGACAAGGCCCCACUACAACAGCCCUUAGUGUUUAAAUCAUUGACAAGCUCUGUUAGAGUGUUAGGUCAAGAACAACAAGUAAUCAAAGCAAUACGUCCUAGUAUGGCUGGCUGAUGCAAACAAGCAAUUGAAUAGAUGUGUGAGCAAAUCUUACAUAUCAAGAAAAUAAGCAAAGAAGGAGGCUUAAAGACCAUCACUUGACUGACCAGAUUUAAGGGGCAUUUAAACAUCAUGUGCAACGUAUGAACUAACAUAAACAUUGCAUAUUCCAGAUUCUACAAUGGAGUGCACAUGUAUUAGGUUAUGCCAUGUAUGAUGAUGCCUAAAUGUACACUAUAGCAGGCAGGAGUGAUUCAUCAUUCCACGCACAAUUGAAUUGCAGGUUAAGGGCCAGUUCGAUUCCGCCUUUUCAGGGCUUAUUAUCAAAAUAAGCCAUAAAAGAUGUAAAGAAGUCAUUUUUGAGUUAUGGGCUUGGGCUUAACUAAUUUCGUUUGGAGGGGGGUGUUUCCGGUAGAACCUCACUAAAAUUGAAGGGAAGGGGAAUCGUGAAAUGACUCUGUUAUCUGCCUAUAUUACACUCAAAAUGCAACUGCUGACGCCCGUGUCACACCUGACCCUCAAGUAAAAAAAACACGCAAGCGUUCAUUGCCCUGCUCACUUGCAUCUCCUCUCCCCUUUCCCUCUACCUCGAUCCCCUGCCUGUAGCACUAGGGUUCCUCCAGCGAGCCGUCGCCAUUGGUCCCAUCUAGCCUGGUCCUUGAUGAUGCUAUGUCCAGCUAGGCUACAUGGACGUCAGGUAGGGGCAAAUCUCCCUGGCUGCUCCUCCCUCUAGCGCCACCCCUCAUUCUCAUGGUCUCCAGCAGCUGCUCCCCUGUGGUUCGUCCAACGCACUACUCCGGCGGGCGCUGCACAACUACGACUGAUGCCACACUGCGGUAGAAGGCACCUUAUUCCCCCUCCCCUCCUCCCAGGCCAUGGCCUUGAGGUGCUGCUGAAGGAUGAGCUCAUCCAACAAGGAAAGGAUCUCCUCUGAUUUUUUGCCAAAUUUUCAUUCUGAUCAACUAUACGAUGAAUUGCUAUGAGCUGCUUCUGCUGCUGCUAUAUGAUGCAUUGCUAUGAGUUGCUCCUGCUGUUGCUAUAUGAUGAAUUACUAUGAGCUGCUGCUGCUAUAUGAUGAAUUGCUAUGAGCUGUUGCUGCUGCUAUAUGAUGAAUUGCUUUGAGUUGCUGCUGCUGCUAUAUGAUGAGUUGCUAUAAGUUUCUCUGCUGAUGCUAUAUGAUGAAUUUCUAUGAGCUGCUCCUGCUGCUGCUAUAUGAUGAAUUGCUAUGAGCUGCUCCUGCUGCUGCUAUAUGAUGAAUUGCUAUGAGUUGCUCCUGCUGCUGCUAUAUGAUGAAUUGAUAUGAGCUGCUCCUGCUACUGCUGCUAUAUGAUGAAUUGCUAUGAGCUGCUCCUGCUGCUGCUAUAUGAUGAAUUGCUAUGAGCUGUUGCUGGUAUAUGAUGAAUUGCACACUCCUGCUGCUGUAUGAUGAGUUGCUAUGAGCUGCUGCUGCUGCUAUAUGAUGCUUUCAGGUGGUGCUGCUAUAUGAUAAUAACCAGCCACUUGGACCAUCAAAUUUCAAUAAAUAAUUGUUCUUCAUUUAAAUGUGGGUCAUGUGUUCUUCAUUUAAAUUAGGCAAUGAGAUCUCUAUGGAAAACAUUGACCAAAGUAGAUUGUGCCAAGUAGAUGGUAUCUUUGUAUUUGCAUUUGGAGCAAAUAGUGAUGGUAUGUUUUCCUAUCAUAUUAAUUACUGCACUGGGUUCAAUUUGUGAUGUUUGCAAGUCAAAUUAAUUUUCAUAUGGGCAGCAAAAUGAAAAAAUAUAAUGCAAUCUAGACUUUCCACUGAUCAUACCAAAGAUAAGCUGAAAACGCAAUGAAAAGAACUGGUUGGCUUAUUACAUGGAGCUUAUAUUCACAUGUGCUUAUUUUCUUAGGAUAACUCGUAAUAACUGUCCCUAAGAAACUUGGCUAAUAGACCUGACAUACAAAUAACAUGUCACGGUGAUUGCAAUGGAGGGGUGACGUACCAUAGCACACUGUAUAGGCUCACCGGUGCCUCUCCUUUUUUGUGAUGUUCCAUGAAAUUGCCACAUACAUAUUGUACUUUUUCAUUGUGUAACCCUAUCUGCAAGUUGACACGGCUAAUUUCAGACAUCUCUACAUGAUACUACAUUGCAUAUCCCUUGCGCAUAUUUAAACCACCAAUUAAGGAUUGUGUGCGUAGCAUAAACUAGCCAUGACUCUGUGUGCUGGACUAGCAGGCACUCUAAGGGAGCCUAAUGUAGUGCACUGGAAUUCCUACAUGCCACCUACGAUUUUGUGUAAUGUACUGCCUCUGUUCCUAAAUAUAUGUCUUUGUAGAGAUUCCAGUAUGGACCACAUACAAAUGUAUAUAGAUGCAUUUUCGAGUGUAGAUUCACUCAUUUUGCUCCAUAUGUAACCUAUAGUGGGAUCUCUAGAAAGACUUAUAUUUAGGAAUGGAGGUACGAGGUAGUAUCAUGUAUGACAUCUACAUAUCUAAUUUAGCAGCCAGUAGUAGAAAUCAUUGUCUGCACAAAGGGAUUACUGGUCGAAAAUCCUAGCAAAGCAUGCUGGCAGGCACAGAACAAUACAAGAGAGAGAGACAGAGACGCACUUACAAGAUCAUAGCAAUGCCUCAGUCCAGGCUCUUGGUUGGCCAAGCUGUUAGAUCCAGAAGAAACAUCGUCCUUGUAGUUUUUGCCAGCUGCAUAACAGGUAACAAUGACUGGUUAGUAUAUUUGAAGUACAUCGGGCAGGUGAUGCUGGACGGGUUUAAAGGUGACAAGUACCUAGGCCAUGGCGGGUGCUUGGCAUCUCUCCAGACGGUGGGAAUCAGGUUAGAAACGUCAAGGGUGAUGACGCUGCGCUGGCUAUUGGGGUCCGGUAAGGAGAUCUAGAACCCCCGAGUAGGGUGUUUGUGGAGCGGCUCCGAUAGGGUGGACUAUGGUGUGGGCGAAGCAGAUCUAUGGCCGUGGACGAGGGCGUAGGUGAAGCUGCUCCGGUGAUUGGGUUAAGGAUGCUAUCGACGAUGCAGAUCUGCGACCAUGGACGGGGCGUCAGAAGCUGCUCCGGUGGUUGGGUUAAGGAUGGUGUCGACAAUGCGGAUCUACGGCCGUGGACGGGGCGUCAGAAGCUGCUCCGAUGGUUGGGUUAAGGAUGGUGUCGACAAUGUGGAUCUGCGACCGUGGACGGGGCAUCAGAAGCUGCUCCGGUAGGUUGGAUGAGGGUGCGAGGAAGCGGAUCUAAGGCCGUGGACUUGUGAGUUGGCAAAGCAGCCCUGGUAGGGUUGAGAAUGGUAUAGGCGAAGCUACUCCGGUAGGGUUGAUGAUGGUGUCGGCGAAGCGGCUCCGGUAGGGUUGAGGAAGGUGUCGGCGAAGAGGAUCAGAGGCCGUCGAUGGGGGUGUCGGUGGGGCGGCUCCGGGGGGGUGUGGACGAAGCAUCUCCGGUGGGGAGUACGAAUGAGCCGUUGCAGAUGCGCGGCGGUUAACGAGAGUACCGGCAAAGCAGAUCCAGUGCCGUGGACAAGGCUGACACUGAAUGGGCUGUGGUAAAGUGGUGGAUGAGCAGUCUACUUGUUUCUAGGGGAGGUGGGAGGGGUAGAUGCGAUCGCAGAAGCAGAUCUGGCGAGGUGGACGCUGCUGGUAGUGAAUGGGCUAUGGUAUGCCGGUGGAUGAGCAGUCUAGGGUUUCGAGAGGGGAGGGGAGAAAGGGUGAUGAAGUACAGACGACGUGAUGUAAGAUGCUCUGGUGCUGUGGAGUUAGUUGUUUUGCGGGAGGGGGAGAGGAAAUGGGGGUGCCGUGUAGUGGAGGGAACCGGAAGUUACCAAAGCAGCCCCGACCUAUUAUGUAGAUGAGGACGGUAUUGCACUUCUUGGUCACCUUGCACCAAGGACAAAAGGGGAAUUUCGCAUGCUCAAGACUAAGGUGGCGGAAAUUUUAGAAGGAGGUGGGAGAUUUUGCUGCCCGCGGGAUCAUUCAUAUCCAGUUUCAACUAAUUUUGGACCGUGCUAGCGGGAAGGUCAUGCUAGACUGUGUACACGGGGCACGCGUCAGCAAUUGAUAACUGGUGUGAAGUCCACCCCAGAAAAAAAGACAAUAACUCGGGAUGAUGCACCGAUAACUUGGACGUUCACACGGGCGCGGCCAAUCGUACGGGUGUAGUGGCGCGUUCACAAAAUAAGGGAUCAAACGCUCAGCUUAUGUAUUUCUCGUGUAAAUAGAUAAUUUAGUGACAUUGGUUAUUUACUUUAAACAUAAUGCAUUGACGUGUUAGUGUAGAGGCCCACAAAAAGAAAUGGAUAUUGUAGUCCGCUACUUAAAAGUGUUACCUCAUAUGAUUAUAUAGCCUCCAUUUCAUAAAUUGCGUACCCAUUGAAUUCAUAUAUGAAUAUUAGAUAUAUUACUUCAAAAUAGAAACUUAAAUCAUCCAAGACUAAUGAAUUUGAAUGCAAGAGUAACAAUGGUGCAUGUACAUGAUAGCUACAUUAGUUGUUUGAAGAAACAUCACUGUAACUUUGGCAUGCACAACUGAAAAGGUUUAUUUAAAUAGAAAGAAAUGUGAUAUGUGAGUGUCCAAUCUUUAUAGCGUUGAAUCGAUAUUGUACCUUUGGCCACGAUACGAAGUAGAUAUUGACUUAUGUUCAAGCGAUGCACGUCCACGAUCACUAGAUAGUGAUACGUGAAUGAAUUGUGCAAUCUCUCUCACACGCAUACAUAUCUCAUUUCCCCGUGGGCAUCAGAAUCACACACGCGCACUUCGUGUAUUUCUCUCCCUCCAUCAAGGUUAAAUUCGUCUUUCUACCCCGUCCUACAAGUCUCUCACAUAGAAACACACACGCUCUCUCUGUCUAACACGCCCACCCCUUUAAUUCCGCCCACCCACAGCUACUAAUGUCUCAAAGUAUAAUAAUGUCUCUCACACAUAUGCCUAAGGUUAACUCGAGUUCCGGAACCAUAUGAAUACAUACAAUGGGAUUCCAACAGAGCACCUUUUGUUUUGAGAUUUCUCUCUCUCUCUCUCUCUCUCUCACACACACACACACACACACACGCGCGCGCGCGCGCGCGCGCACACAUUGUUUCUCGCUUCAUUUUUUCUGGCACUUGCAUGCACACUAUUUGUUUAUCUUCGUGGUGCUUUAAGUAUGCCUCGCACAAAUGCUAUCUACCUAUCCCUUAAUAUAGCUAGAUAUGUGUCACACAAACUCCUUCUCCCUACUAGCAAGAUGCCCAUGCGUUGCACGGAACGUCAAGACGCAUUUAUAUGAGUAGUUUAUCUUGUGGGAGAAAAGGAUGAACGAGGGAAUGCCUUAUUUGCAAAUGCGGAGAGGGGUGUGGGUAUGUUUUUGCAAAAUUACAUAGUUUCCUUCCUAUCCGUUGGAUAUAAAUCGGAUAGCCUAUAUUGCAGGAUGGCCGGAACACCAACAUCACCAACUCUGUUUUUUAUAAGAGUAGAGAUAUGUGAGUGUCACUGCCUCCCCCCCCACACACCCACACACCCACACUUCCCAACACCGAAGGAGUAGGGUGACACCUCGAUCUUGAUACUAAUCUGUCAACUGGCUUCUCUCUCAAACAUACACACACACACACACACUACCCGACACCGAAGGAGUAGGGUGGCACCUUGAUCUUGAUAAUAAUCUAUCUACUCCUCUUUCAAACACACACACACAUACACACACACACACACACACGCUAGUUGUGCCUCUGUGCCUACCGCGCACACCCUCGAUAUGUCUUUCUCCCCCCCAACAAUGACAGCAGAAGGGCGACAACUCGAUGUGAUCAUAAUAUGUCAAUUGUUUCUCUCUCAAACAUUGUGUCUCGGUGCCUCGCUCGGUAGCCCCCUCGAUAUGUAGACUUCUCGCGCAUGCACAGCUGUAGUGUCGAUGACACUGAACCCAGUGUGCCUUGUUUUUACCGGCCUCAUGUGAUAGCUUUCACCCUGUUUUCUGUUAAUUAACAAGGCAACCUUUUCUUUGUUACUACUAGUGAAUCUGAAAUCAUUCGGGGCAGAUAUAAAAUAUAUCACUUCAACCCAAUUAUCGCAACAACUAUUUUAAAAGAAACUAGCUAGCUACCUAUGUGUUGCACGGAACAUCAAGAUGCAUUUGUAUGAGUAGUUUAUCUUGUGAGAGAAAAGGCUCAACAAGGGAAGGCCUUAUUUGCAAACAUGGAGAGGCAUGUGGGUAUAUUUUUGCAAAAUUGCCAUAGUUUCUUUCCUAUCCGUUAGAUAUAAAUCCGACGGCCAUAUUGCAGGAUGGCACGCACACCAUCAUCACCAACUCUGUUUUCUACUCCCUCCGUUCCUAAAUACUCCCUCCGUCCGAAAAUACUUGUCAUCAAAAUGGAUAAAAAGAGAUGUAUCUAAAACUAAAAUACGUCUAGAUACAUUUCCUUUUAUCCAUUUUGAUGACAAGUAUUUCUGGACGGAGGGAGUAUUUGUCUUUUUAGAGAUUUCAACAAGUGACUACGACCGGACCUUACCAACAUACUCAAAAAAGUAGUCCAUAAUUUCGAUGUUACCCUCUUUUCUUAGCGAUGCAGUGCCAUCUGGAUACCUCAUAAAUAAAUCAAGGAGAAAUCUGACUCCUUCCUAAAAAAGACAUACGGAGCAAAAUGAGUGAGUCUACACUCUAAAAUAUGUCUACGUACACAUCCGUAUGUGGUAGUCCAUUUGAAAUCUGAAAAAGACAAAUAUUUAGGAAUGAAUGGAGUAUAAGAGUAGACAUGGAGAUAUAUCUCCAGCAUGAUCUAUAACAAAAAUGUGUUGGACUGGUUAGCGCCGGAUGCUCGCAACGCGAUGACAUGAGUUCGAAUUUUGUCUUUUAACUUUAGAUUUUUAUAUAAUAUUAUAUACUACUUAUUUAAUAUAUACUUCUUUCGCUACCGUAAUGACAGUGAAACCCACAAAGUACUUAGAAUACAACAUUAAGGAUGGACUUGUUUCUUUUUAACUUUCUAUACGAAGUUGUAGCCACCCUACAAGUCACAUGUACACUGUACUUGCAAUUAACUUUUUAUAGAGGGACAAUCAUACAGGCAAUUAACUCAAAUGGAUUGGAUGUCACUCUAUUAUUUCCAGCAUAAGAGCAUCUCCAACGGCACCCGACAAAUUUCCUCCCGCUUCCUUCCGCGAAGGACGACACUAAACGCCAGCGGCAUACAUUUUCACAACACUAACCAACCAGAUGAAAUCCGUGCAAACACGGACUGAUUUCAUAUAAGCAUGAGGGAUUUCGUAUAAAAAAGCCGGAUCUUCAUAUAAACAUGAUGGAUUUCAUUACAUUUACAUGAACUAAGCGGUGCCAAUCCGGCUCUCUUGGUAUAAUUAAUACUCCCUCCGUCCGGAAAUACUUGUCCUAGAAAUGGAUGUAUCUAGACUUAUUUUCGUUAUAGAUACAUACAAUCUAUCCAUUCUUAGAACAAAUAUUUCCCGCCAGCUGCAGAGGGAGUACAUGAUCUAAAUGGCCGCCCACAGAUCCCUUUGUCUUCCUCAUGUCCGUCAGACACUUGCGGGGUCAACGAAGGUCCUCGGAAGAGAUGAAGCAGCAAAGAAACCACCUGAAUGCGCAGUCGUCGCCUCGGCGGUGGCCUUCAUGGGUCACAAGUGGGGGCGGCCUCUCGUGUUCUACUUCUCCUCGAUGAUGACGGCAGACACGGAGAAGCUGGCCACCAACUCGUCGCUCUCCAUGCACCCGGCUUCUGUCUCUGCCUGCAUGGAGCUGCUGCAGGCACAGGAGGCGCGCCCACAGACACGGGAGGCGCGGCCACUGUAGACACUGGUGGGGCGAUAUGACGCGGCAGCGAUGAUGCCCAUACCAGUGUGCUCACCGUCGUGCCGGCGUGGAGCAACUCGCCACUCUUCAUCGAGCUGAACUAGAGCGGCGAGCUGCUGAACCACGCGCCUGCUUGGGGCGGCAACUGACUCCGUCGGGCUAAGCAAGGUUGGUGAAGCACCGAGCGGCCUCGCCCGUAUCCGGAGGGCUCGGCGAGCCACCCAGCCGGGUAAUAUGCCGGAGAACGGCUCCUCGAAAGCCAUCGGAAGAGUGGAGAAAAUGGUGAAGGAGGAGAUGGGGGAGCGGCGGAGGGGUGCGAUUCUUGCCCGUUGUCUCUCUGGCCUCGUGUAAAUAGAGGGCUGACGGUAGGAGCUUGGCUAAUGUCUGGCCUUGUUUAAACUAAGGGCGGAUGGGAGGAGCUCGGACGGUGUUGCGUUUAAAUCCGCCCCGCUCAUGAAGGAACGUGUGGCUGGAGUAGGAUUCUCGGUUUGCAUGCGGGUUUAAUGGAGGGGUUUAAUGGAGGCGAGGAGGCGUGUCCAGCCGGGUGUGCAGCGGGCGGCGCAGUACUAUUCAAUUUGACAGCAGUAAUGAGCCGUCAAAUCACAAAGGCCCUCGCCUCUUAUGAAACCGACCAAGAUAGACUGCCCCGCCCUCUAGCCUUUUAAAAAAUGUAUAUACUCCACUUUUGUACAGUAGUAGUAUCGAUGGAUUGUGCCAUGGAGCAAAACUUGAAAUUAAAAAAAGGUGGUACAUAUAGAGAGCGCUCGUUGCCAAAUUAUGCAUAUGGUACUAUUAAAAAGGCUAGUCACAAUAAUGGUUCCCAGCACAACCCACCCCUCAAAUAAAACUAAGCACCCUGAAAUUCUUUUACAAAACUAAGCAUGCUGAAAUUCUUUGACAACUAAACUGCUGGCUAUAUGAUGUUGGCCAUAUAUAUUGUACAUAUAUAAUGUGAAGAAACGAGUGGUAGUACUAUACCAACUAAAAUAUGAAAUGUAAGAAAUACUAGUAUGUACGUACUGAAGAGUUAAAGUAACGAGAAGAAACAUAACAUAGUUCUGUUGGGGGCUCAGCAUAACAUACCCCUCAAAUUAAACUAAGCACACCUGAAAUUAAACUUAGCAACUAUUCCGGUAGACACUGCAUUAGAACCACCAUGAGCAAUGACACUUCCACCUUACUCGGAGUCCUCGUCCACAUCCUCGACUUCGUCCUUGUCCCUCUUCCUCUUGGUCGAUACUUCUUUGCUUGAUCCGCACACUUGGCUCUUGCUCUUCAUCCAACCCUUGUAGAUAUUGAAACAAAGGUAUCCAUCCAUUGCAGCGUAGUGGAUGUGGUCUAUAUCUAGUACAUUCCGCUGCCAUGCAUGACGAUGAAACGUGUAUUGAGGUUUCUCUAGUUUACCAUACGAAGGAUGAACCAUGGCUCCUGCCAGGGUCAGCAUUGAAGGCUUGCCACUGGAGGGCAGCAACCAAUUCUUCUGGAGGUCGAAGGGGUUGCCUACAACGAGGCCUAUCCGACCUAGGAUUUUUUUGUCGUUCAUGAAGUCUACAGUAACGAAUUUGACUAGGUUGCUCUUGAGGAAGUUCUUAAAAUCCAGGCAUUCAACAUCGGCAUGGCAUAUGUGGUAGACCAAGCAUAAGUCAUGCACGCAAACCUGGAUCACGGCGGGCUUCUUCCUCUCUUCCUCAUUUAGAUCUUUCUCUCGUCCCAAGACUGUGGUGUACUCAAUAUCUAGCCUAGCGACCCACUCAUCAUCUGAGUUUUCGAACACGUGUCUGAAGCGAGAAAGGCAUCCUUUCACCAUCGCGGAAGAACGGGUGUAGAUGACGUCGAACUCAUUGCCGGUGAUGGUUAUAACCUUGUACUCACCGCCGAUCAUGGAGAUUUGGGACGCCAUGGAUUUGGGAGGAGGGUUAGGAUAAGUGGAACUGUCAUAAUGUUAAAGGACGGGACGACUAGGAGCGAACCAUCGUAAUAUUAAAGGACGUGCGGGGACGAGUAGGAGCGAACUGCCAGCGUGCGAAUGACAGGGUAGUGGCUUUCCAUUCUCCCAUGAUACGGGCUUCCGAGAGCCCUUGGAUUUGAGAUCAAAUGGUUGCAUGGUGUGAUUCUAGACCUGUGGGUGAAUAUCCUAUCCUGGAGGGUUAUUCUACAAAUUUUCAGCAACUUAGCAUGCGACCGUUCGAUCUCAGAUCCAAGGGCUGCCAGCAGCCCGUAUCAUGGUCGCACCUACCACGACCGUCGCGUCGCUCGCGCGGUCGCGCCCUUGGAGAUUUAACAUGGUGCGUUAGGCUAUCUGAUGUUGGCAUGUCAUCACUUAGUCACUCAUACUACAACAAGGUUAGCUAUAAGGUUGGCUAUAAGUGUAUUUAUUUUUUACUUCUCUCUAUCUCUUUCUUCGUACUCCCUCCGUCCCAUAAUAUAAGAACAUUUUUGACACUAGUGUAGUGCCAAAAACGUUCUUAUAUUAUGGGACAAAGGGAGUAGUAUUUAUUGCAUUUGCCAAGGAGUGACCUCUUCCAAUGAAAUGGUGCUUAGAUGAGGUUCUAAGGGCAUUAAAUGGCUUAGCAAUCAAGUCCCCAAUGCAUAGGUGCCUAUUAGUAGUUUUUUGUUGCUAAGUUUGCUUCAUUUAAUUAGCUAUAGACUCAAAAUUGUCUUUUCACCUAGGUACACACACUUAGCACCGUUUCUUCCUUGGGUCACCACACUAGUCUCUCUCUUCUUAAUUAACGUGCCACAUCAGACUUUAUGCCUAUGUGGCAAGCUUAGCACAUGUAGGAGCAAGUAAGUACAAUAGUGCGCUUUACAUGGCAUUUUUGCAUAUGUGGAGGAAAGAGAGGCAAAGAAAAAGUGGAGAAGUGGGCUCUCAUGCAAGAGCCAGCCUCUACUACAUGGUGGAGCAUUGGGAGAGGCACCUGUAUGGAGGUGGUCAGGAAUCGGGAGACUCAUGCCAGUUGUAGCGCCGCAGUUAAAAUGAUAAUGGCAAGUCAAAUCACGGGGCCCCACCUGUCCAGCAGUAACUCACUGUCAAAUCACAUAGCCCUACGUUUGCAGCAGCCUACUCCCUCAUCUUCUCGCGUCUCUGUCGAGCCGACUAGGCGGAACUGCCCCGCCUACCGCGCAGGAAAAGCCCCACCCUCGAGUUUUAAAUAGUACAUUAUACUCCCUCCGUCUAGGUGACCAAGGUGGAGAGGAAAAUGAGAGAACUUAAUGUUUGUUUGCUAAAGCUGGUUGUAAUGGUAGUAUCAUAGCUAUAUCAUGCAAGCCAACUAGGCAAUUUUGAUGAGGUGUUAUAGAAUUAAAUGAAGAAAGAGAGAGUUGAGUAUCAUAUCAUGAUACUGUAUCAUAAUAAAUGCUAUGCUACUAUGUGUCAUACAUGGCAAUAAAUAAAGUACUACAUGAUACUAAUAUAUGAUACUAAGCAUUAUUAAUAUCAUUGCGUGCAACGAACUGACCACUGCAUGUCAUGUUUGAUAGUCUCAAGUCAUUAAAAGCAUACAAGCCCACAUCUCUUAUUGGUUGAUUCCUCUAUUUAUGUCAAAAAAUAAGAAACAACGUGAGAGUUAAUGCACCGUUCCUAUGUGUUUACUAUUUGGUUUUCAUAAGAUGACUUACUCACCUAGACGGAGGGAGUAUUCGAUUUUAUAGCAGGCAGCAUAGUUCCCGAUACGGCUUUAAUGCAGACAAGGGAGGGAGUAGCAGUUCCCGAAGUAUUGAACGGCCAAUGCAUCCUCCUUCAAUUAAUGCAUGAGGGAAGUAAUGGGAGGAGGUCCGGAAAAAGAGGCUGCACGAUGUGAAUGCAACGCAGUUUGCCCUCAUUGCCCUCAUAUAAAGGCGCCCCUCCAUUCCAAUGCAUCUACCACAUCGUACGCACCUAAGCAUUUGCCUAAGCACCUACACUAAGCACAAAAGAGCUCACUCCAGACCCAUGGCGGCGAUGCGCGUGAGCGGCCAGCGGCUGUGCCAGAUGGUCCACGACGCCGGCCUGCAGCAUGACAUCGAGGAUCGUCUCCAGACGGUGUUGGAGGCCGGCUGGUGGAUGGCCACCGUCGAUGCCAACUACGACUCUCAGUUGGACCAGAUGAUCGUUGCGACCAGCAACAAGUUCACCGACCUCAAGAAGCUCGUGGAUGACAUCGCCGUACUCCUCCAGCCCGCGCUCGGGCUCCUCAUUGCCUGCCACCCUAAUCGGCCUCCAUGGCCGGAACCUCUUUCAAGCACUGGUGGCCCUGCGACUGCCCGCCGAUGCCAUGAAGAAUGUCCACCUGGAGGUUGCACUCGCUGCGAGGCGCCUCACACUGCAAGAAUUCGUCGACCUACACAUCCACAUGUACGAGCAAAUCGUGUACAUAUGUAUCUACAAGGCCAGUGAGGACACUACGACGUUGGCCUUUCUCAACCGGCUAGAAGUCUUGGAUGCCUUUGCUGAGAAGCACCUCGACCUCGCCACAAAAGCCGCCGCUCCGUAACCACCGGUCAGUGGCCCGGUGCACUAAUUUGAGGAGGAGGAGGAGGUCGUACGUUCAUGGAUCCAUAUUUCUUCUUGCCUUUUGUAACCACCACUGCGAUCGCAUCAUCGUGGCCUUAAUUCUUAUUGCGCUGUUGCAUUCUCGUUCCAGUAAAUACCGACAUGUACGAUCCCUUUGCUUAAUUGUAUGCAUCACUGUAACUAGUACUUCAUUCGUCAAUUUAUAAGUUGUGCUUACCUUUUCCAUCAACUUCGUGCAACGCGCGGGCAUCUUGCUAGAAACACUAGAACAUGUCGGACCGCGUGUAACCAAACCGAUGAUGCGCCAACCUAGUACUAUGUACCCUGCUUAUCUGGCGGAAAUAGCCCCUCCCUAGCGUUUCCAAUCGUUAUUUCUAUCUAUCGAUCGUGCCAAGGAGCGGAACCAAAUGUUACAAUUUAUCCAUGUUUCUCUACUCCUACAUUUUUCCUUAUAAAAGACUUAGUUGGUGAUGGUGGUGUGUCUGUUAUCCGUCGUUUUUGACCAUUAGAUCUGCAUCUAAUGGCUGUGAGGUAAGUUGUGGCAUUUUUGCAACAAUACCCACUUCUCUGCUCCAAUUUGCAGAAAACCCCUUAUUAUCUUGAAAGCAACCACAUCCCUCCCUCACCUCAUCAAAACAGCCUAAGAAAUAUAUUUUGAGUGAAAAGUACUUCCUCUAUUCCUAAAUAUUUGUCUUUCUAGAGAUUUCAAUAAGUUACUACAUACGGAGCAAAAUGAGUGAAUCUACACUUCAGAAUAUGUCUAUAUAAUCCGUAUGUGGUAGUCCAUUUGAAAUCUCUAAAAGGACAAAUAUUUAGGUACGGAGGGAGUAAUAUAUUAGGAGUAUAUCAAAACAAGAGUGAUUUCUUUCAAGUAUGUGAACAAGUACUACUAUUCUACUACUUUGGAUCUGUUGCAAUGCACGAGCACAUUGCUAGUAAAAGGAAAAGGCCUGUCGCGUUCGCAUCGCACCCCCACACGCCCGGGAAUCGGGAGUACUCCACGGCCCGUCCGGCACGACACAUAUCUUAGGGAAGGCGUGUUGCCUAGCAUUUUCACUUUCAUGUGGGACCGCCAUUGAGUAAACCUACUAUUGCGAACCGCACCCCGCCCGCUGCCAGGUUGGAAAACAGAAACGAGGGGAAGAUCUAGCUGUAGCACGGAAGCCAAGAAAUUUGGUGUCAGAUGGGGCUCAUUGAUAGAGUAGGAGCAUUCCGUACUAGUACUACUCCUACUAGUACCAAGUUUGUACUCCUAAUACUAUAUUACUAGUACUACCACUAUACAACUAGUAGGUACGUGCACGACACAACAUCGUAGGAACAAAAAACGGGAAGAUCUUGUUUUGGGUGAUUUAUAUUUUUUUCAGUCAACGUAGUAUGAAUAAUAUGAUGUGGGGGGCACCCAUGAAGCUUAUGUGGCUUGGUUGCAUGGCUAUGAAAGGUUAGAGAAAAAUAAAUAGAUAAUGUGUUUAGAGUGCACUCCACUAAAUAGAUAUACUUUGGAUCCAUUGCAACGGACCGACACAUUUAUAUCUAUACCCCCUAUAGUGUGUGAAAAACUUUGAAAGUUGGUCGUUGGAUGAAGCCAAUCCGAUGGUACAAAGAUGGCAAAUCCGAGCACUACUGGCCGUUGGAUAUCAUCCACCAGAUUCCUCCACAUGUAUAAUCUAGAAGACUCCAUGGUUGAACUUAAUUCAUGACUUACUUUUCCACAACUAAGCUUAGGCAAAGUUAUUAGUUCUUACAAAUGAGAGCCACAAGUUGGCAAGCCUAAGGGAAUAAUGCCACAUUUUUUGUGUGUAUGUCAUGUGGGGCCUUAGUGUGGCUUGCCUAAGGUGUGGCUUGAACCAAACACUCACCUAAGUUAGUCAAACUUGCCUAACCUUACGUGUGGCAAUCUUUGGCAAUCUUAGUGGUUGUUUGGUUCCUAGCCACACCUUGCCACACUUUGCUACACCUAACCUUAGGCAAGUUUGACCAAGUUAGGUAGGUGUUUGGUUCUAGCCACACCUAAGGCGAAGAUUUUUUUUAUGAGCAGUGAGCCCCACAUGUCAUAGACACAAAGGGGUUGUUUGGUUCUAGGCCUAGCAUUGCCACAGUUUGCCACACAUUUUUGCCAAGCUUGCCUAAGGUUAGUUCAUAAAAAUGAGAGCCACAAGUUGGCAAGACUAAGGGAAUCUUGCCACAUGUUUUAUGUGUAUGCCAUGUGGGGCCCAAGUGGGGCUUGCCUAAGAUGUGGCUUGAACCAAACACUCCCCUAAGUUGGUCAAACUUGCCUAACUUUAGGUGUGGCAAUCUUUGGCAAAGUUAGUCACAAACCAAACAAGCCCUAAUAACUUUGUGGCAAGAUUCCCUUAGGCAAGCCAAAGUGUGGUUAACAAAGCAACUCAACUAAGGCAAGUGUGGCAAAAAUCAUAUGGCGAUAUAUGGCAAAGAUAGUCACAAUUCAAACAGCCCUACUAACCAAACAACGCCUACCUUAGGCAAGUUUGGCAACAUUGUAUGAUAAAGUGUGGCAUUGCUAGGCCUAAAACCAAAUAACCCCUAUGUUUGCCGCAAAAAAUGUGGCUAACAAAAUGGGCACCACAAGUGUGGCAAGAUUUGGCAAGAAGUUGAGUCUGUGACAUGUGGACCAUGUAGCUAGAAAAGUGUGGCAAGCCACAAGUGUAGCAAUGAACCAAACACAUGCCUAAGAUAUUGUGGCAUGCCUAAGCUUAAGCGUGGCAACCUUAGGCUGCAAACCAAACAUCUAUAUAUCGAUACCCCUAUAUAGUGUGUGAAUAACUUUGAAAGUUGGUUGUUGGAUGAAGCCAAUCCGACGGUACAAAGAUGGUAAAUCCGAGCACUACUUGCUGUUGGAUAUGAUCUACAUUCCACCAGAUUUUGCCACAUGUAGAAUCUAGAAAACUCCACAUGUAGAAGCAUAAUGCAGAAACCACCACAAUCUCAUGCGUGCAAUGCACGUGGACCUUACUAGGACUAGUUGGUAGUAGUAAGAAACAAAUUCCAGUUUUGGCACAAGCUCAUACUGCGGGAGCAUCACAAUGCCUGCCACAGGAGUUACAUUUCCCUCUCGGGGCCCACGCGAUCGAACUUCAGUGGCUUAGUGCCCGGCCUAUGAGUCAAUGACAUGCGGACCUUAAAUGCGGCUGGCCCACAUGUCAUUCUCAUGGUGGUGGCGUGGUUCGCGACUCACUCGUUCAAGAUGAACCGGCCGAUGGUGGCGUGGCCGUGGCAAGGGUGCCACAGCUGGGCGUCGGGGCAUUACGGCGGGUAUUACCUGUAGUACAGAAGUACUCCAGCUGAGGAUUGAUGCCCGGGACGAAAUGUGUCACAGUCACUGGAUGAAAAUUGGAUGGUGCGAGAGUACGGAUCGGAGCACAGCAGCAGAGCAGGCAAACUCCGUCCAAUCGGGUGUGUCUGUGGUAGAAAGUUGAUGGUCGCCGUAGUUCAGCUGGCCCGCAUGUCAUGCACACAAAGGCAGAGGAGCGGUGGGGCCGAGAGGGAUGAGGCGCACGUAGGGGGAUGAGGAUCCCCUGACACGAACAAUCCUACCAUUUUGUCACUGACAUGUGGGACCGCCAAGCGUGGGUCCCACCUAUAAGCGAAGGAAAGGCAGGGCAAGGCAGUGAUAGCCACGUCAGAGAAUCCAUGUCCACGUCAGGGGACGUCGUGCCAUGGGUUGGAGCAGCAUUGUGGGAAUCGCGUGUGGGUGUGGCAGUGGUAGAAACAAGAAACAUGAUGGUCGCCGUGGUUCAACUUCCAUGGACAAGCUGUCAUGUCUGCUAACACAUGUAUAUCAAAACUAGAGUGUUUAUAUUUCAAGCACGUGAACAAGUAUUAUUCUACUCCCUCCGUCCCAAAGUAAGUGUCUCAACGUUAGUACAACUUUGUAUUAGAGUUAUUAUAAAGUCGAAACACUUAUUUUGGGACAGAAGGAGUACUACUUUGGAUCGAUUGCAACGCACGGGCCAGCACAUUGGUAGUAGUAGUGUAUAUCUCUAUCUCUAGAGGCCUUCCCUUGUUCAUCCUUUUCUCUCAAAAGAUAAACUACUCAUACAAAUGCAUCUUGAUGUUCCGUGGAACGCACGAGGAUGUUUCCUUGGGGGUCUCUCCAGCACGGCGUGGCCGUAGUUGCAAGUUGACGCUGCUUGAGAUGCCGACAUUGAGGGGCACUCGGAUUUCCCCCGAUGAGCAGGUAAGAUGAGUUUGAUCAUGUAGUAAAUGCAUUCUUAAGACUACUUCCGUGUCCAUUUCCUAAUUCUCCCCCUGCCCACUAUUUCACAGGUUAGGCUCGAUGCGAGUGGAGAUUGGCUUGCAUAUGUACGGGAGGGUACCAACAUCAUUUUGCACAACAUUUACAACGGUGACACCGUUCUAGUAGAACCUUUGUCCAACAUUGGGAUCAGCCAUGCAAUGGGACACCAUAUGAAUUGGUACGAUGGAACCACGGUGAGAUUGAAUAAGAUAGCACAAACCUUGCACAUGGCAGUCAAAGGCGGACCAUGCUGUCUGCGGCCGACUUGUUGCAGUACGAGUACAAAGACGUUGUGUUCCUUUCUAACCGCAUCUUUGCGGUGACAAACCAGGGGACUUAUUUCAUAUGGGACAAUCCUACGAUAUACUCCCUCUCUCCCAGUUUAUUUGUUUUGAAUAUUUUCAUUUUAUAAGUUUCAAAUUCAAAUUUAGAGCUCCCCAUCACAUGUUGAGAUUACAAUGUCCACUAAAAGGUUGUGUGCAUUUAUAGUAAAGAAACAAAUCUCGAGUUUGGCACGAGUUCGUGCAGCGGUAGCACCACAAGGCCUGGGGCGCAGGAGUUACAUUUCCCUCUUAGGGCCGUCGGGACUGAGCUUCAUCGCCUUACUACACCUGCCUUUGAGUCAAUAACAUGUGGACCCGAUAGGUGACUUGUCCACAUGUAAUGCUUCCGAAGGCAGAGGGGCAGUGGGGCUGAGAGGGGUGAGCCGCAGGUCGGGGGACGUGUGGUGUCAUGGGUUCGAGCGGCGUCGUGGGAAUCACGUGUGGCUGUGGUAGAAACUUGAUGCUCGCCGGAUUUUAGGUGGCCCACAUGUCAUGCACACAAAGGCAGGGGCGGUGCGGCCGAGAGGGGUGAGGCGCACGUCGGGGGACGUGGUGACGUGGGUUGGAGCGGCGUCGUGGGAAUCGCGAGUGGUAGUGGAUGAAACGUGAUGGUCGCCGUAGUUGAACUUCCAUGGACAAGUUAUCAUGUCUACGGACACAGGCACUACAUACCAAUCACUGGAAGGAGUAGCAGAGAAAGCUAUAUAUGCGGAUAAAUAGUUCCUUAUAGUCAAGCGAACCCACGCUACUACUUUGUUCCAAAGACAAGCACACCAUCGAAAUAGUCCAUCUAUAUCAAUAUACACCGAGAGGGAAUAAUUAUUUUUAUAAGAGAGGAAAUAGUUCAUCCAUCCAUAAUGCCCUCCUGCUGGUGCAGCCUUUUCUUCUUCUUCUUCUUCUUCUUCUUCUUCUUCUUCUUCUUCUCCUUCUUCUUCUUCUUCUUCUUCUUCUUCUUCUUCUUCUUCUUCUUCUUCUUCUUCUUCUUCUUCUCCUCCUCCUCCUUCUUCUCCUCCUUCUCCUCCUCCUCCUCCUCCUCCUCCUCCNNNNNNNNNNNNNNNNNNNNNNNNNNNNNNNNNNNNNNNNNNNNNNNNNNNNNNNNNNNNNNNNNNNNNNNNNNNNNNNNNNNNNNNNNNNNNNNNNNNNNNNNNNNNNNNNNNNNNNNNNNNNNNNNNNNNNNNNNNNNNNNNNNNNNNNNNNNNNNNNNNNNNNNNNNNNNNNNNNNNNNNNNNNNNNNNNNNNNNNNNNNNNNNNNNNNNNNNNNNNNNNNNNNNNNNNNNNNNNNNNNNNNNNNNNNNNNNNNNNNNNNNNNNNNNNNNNNNNNNNNNNNNNNNNNNNNNNNNNNNNNNNNNNNNNNNNNNNNNNNNNNNNNNNNNNNNNNNNNNNNNNNNNNNNNNNNNNNNNNNNNNNNNUUCUUCUUCUUCUUCUUCUUCUUCUUCUUCUUCUACACUCUUAUGUGAUGCUAUUGAACACAAUGGCAUCAUCUACGCGAUCGACAAAGCAGAUGGCACCACGUAUUGCUGGGACGGCGCGUGUAAGUUGUUUCCUUCUCAUGUUAACGAUGACGCCAUGACACUGUUUGAACUUUUUGUGAUGAUUGGCAUAUCCAUGUUUGAGCAGAAUUUGAGUAGAACUAUGGCAACGUAUUAGCGACGCCGUAAGUCACCUAUAUUUGGAAUGAGUUAAUUCAUGUGAUUGUGACCAUGUCAUUACAGCCAAUUUGUACCCCUGAAUAAUCAAACAGUUAGGAAUAUAUGGAUAUUAUCCUUAUUUUACAGUAAUCUAUAUACUACUACUAAAUAUGAGUGUGUAUCAAUGGCCAUGUUAGUUUCCUCAUUUUCAUGAUGUAGAAACAUGCACCACACUGUUGGUUUCAUCUAACCAUACAUUGGGGAAGUAAAUGUGCAUAUGGAGAACUCUAUAUUUGGAAGUAGUGAAAUCCUGCAAUGCUUACCAUGUGUACAUACCUAUAUUCUCCCUUCAGCGAUCAAUUGCUAGAAUAAUAUCCUCACAAAAAAUUUGCCCACAGAACACGAGUAUAUAACAAUGCAUGGUCUGUUAGUUACCUUGAAGAAUUUGUUUGUGAGGACAGAACAUGAUUACAUAACAUGCAUGACAUGGUAGUUUCCUGUGAAGAAUCGAUUGCGAGAUAACAUGAGUAUAACCAUGCAUGGCACUUCUAUAUUUUCGAACCCAGUAUACAUUUCCCUGUAUUUUCCUCCCAGUUCCAACAGGGACAUAUCAAUGGUGUUUCUUGCAUUAUCCUACUCAUACUCUGAACAAUGUUGAUCUUACAUUAACAAUGCAUGUCCUUUUUCAUAUGAUGCAGUGUCCCUACAGUUACUGCCCUUUGUAAUCACACCACCUUUGCCAAAAACGGGGAAGCACAACUAGUUCCUCGCUCGAUCAGACGACGGCAAAAGACUGAUGAUCAUUCAGACACAUGAGCCGGAAAAGUUAUAUUGCAAAAACCCCACUGUAUACAAGCACCGUGAAAUACGUGAGUAUCCGCACAAUGGUUGUUACGUCUAUGAGCAGGAUACCAGCUUGUUGGGGCCUUCAGGAUUUUUUAGUUGGAGGCGGGUAAACAGCCUUGGUUCACACUCUCUGUUUCUCAGACUCAAUUAUCCGAUUAACCAUGAGAUCACCAUUGGCAAGGACCUUGAUGGCAGAGAGGCUCUGUUUGCUAUGGAAAACUGUGUCUGCACGGCGAGCCCUAGGAGUUCGGGAGCAAACUCCCCCGAUUGUCAACGAUACAACCUGCAGCCAAAAGAAGGUGAGAAUGACAAAGGCAUCCGGAUUAAAUUUGAUCCUUGGAUGUCUCAAUUACGACAUGCAGUGAUGUGGUUCAAGCCUUCAGGUUGAUAGGUAAUUGGGCUAUUGCAUCAAAAGGGUGGAGUACUGGUGUCUCCGGAUCACUCGUCGCUGAAGCGGGGCUGCAAAUUAUGAUGGUGUUGGAUCUGAUAUUCGAAUGACUUUGUUGUAUUUGCUGCUGGUUCUGGAUGGGUAGUUCUUUCUUUUGUUAUGCAUAUUCCUUGUCAUUUGGUCAUCCUCGUCUAUGUCACUCUUACUAUGUAAUAGUUGCCUCUGUUUAGAAUGUCAUUCUCGUCUGGAUCACGAGAGUCUGAGCGCUGCAGAUGGGUGCGUUUUGGUGGUGUAGCAAGACUUCUUAUGAACUAUCAUGUCUUGUUGUUUAUGUCAGUAGUAGUCACUAGUCAGUGUUUGAAUGUUGUAUAUAUCGUUGUUUCGAACUAUUUAUUGUCUCAAACUACUGGUGGGCUAAAUGAAAGCAUCACCAUUCUCCAGUGUUCAGAGUAUAUCUCCUUUUUUCAAGUUAUAUAAUUUGAGCUCAGUGUCUUUUCGAUGAUGUACACUUGUUUGGGCCAGUGAGGUGUCGUUGAAUAUGGGCAGAGUAGUAACGCAACGCCAAACAGGUCAAUUAUGACUCUCAGGCCGGGAUCUCAAAAGAUCCUUAAAAAAGGCUGGGCUCUCCAAAAUAGAAAGAUUAAGGACUCCUAGGCCGACAUGUGGGCGCCACCGGUGUUUUCGUGCGCUUGCCGCCGAGAGAACAUUGGCGUGUGCUCGAAAUUCAUGCUACCUUUUCAUCCCCAAUCUCCCGCCCCUCCCCCACCUCUGGAAUCUCGAUUCCUACUCCAGUUCCCCCAAAUCCCCCUCCUGUACUCCCUGUACUCAAGCGCACUAUCAUGUCACCGGUCAACGCGGAUCUCGGAGCCGGAGAUCCUGAGGUCCGUCCUGCCUUCAGUCGCUGCGUGCUAUCGCUCAACAGUGGCAUGGCAGCGCUUGACGACCAGUUUGCCGGCAAAGUGCUGAUGGUAACCAUCAACGGCGACCGGGCUCCCGUCUCGCCGGACGACCUUGUCAAAGCUCUUGGCAUUGCGCACGGCAUCCAAAUAAGUGACUUGUCAUCGAAGUCUGUCUGCCACCGGCUGAUUUCUUCGUCAGGUUCCGGACAACUUUCGACUGUAGUCGUGUGUUUGAAUCUUCCCGACGUUUGUUCUGUGAUGGCGCGCUGGUGAGCUUUGAUAGGUGGCACCCAGGAUUGGGCUCGGUGCUCUUUGAGCUUGAGUUUUUAACAAAGCUUAGAGCAUCUCUAGUCGCGCCCCCAAUAGGCCCCCCAGGCGACUUUUUCGGCGCCGACGCCAAAAAAAA